Molecule: long non-coding RNA, 50196 nt
Filed under: Solanum tuberosum (potato)
Lineage: Eukaryota; Viridiplantae; Streptophyta; Magnoliopsida; Solanales; Solanaceae
Description: long non-coding RNA (STUB_LNC003792)
Rfam family: MIR159 microRNA precursor family (bases 49159-49353)
Source: RNAcentral
CAUGGAACAGGUAAGAAAAACAUCACGAGUGACUGACCAAGUCAUAAAACAAUGGAGCGAAUUGAGUUUAUAUAGAAGUGUGCAAUUAAAUGCACACAGGGAUACACAAUGACUCUAAAUGUGAGUAGACGAUAAAGCAUUAAAGAGAGUGUGAUAGUUAUUUUAAAUUACUGAGUGUACAGGGGAUUUACUUAGCAUUGCAAAAAGAAAUAGAGGUGCAGCACCCAGAAAACUUGGAUUAAUCCGAGUAAAUGAUCCCCUUUGGACUAGUGCCUAGCUUAUCACUUGAGAAAAAUAAGAGAAUAUGCUACAAACAAUUUACUAGUUAGCACUGAUAACAAGAAAAACAAUUCACUAGUUAGUACUUCUUUUUUAAUGACCAGGAAAUCUGCUAUUUUCAUCUUCGGAACUCAGUUGCUAUUUGAUUCUACCCUCCACCCUUCUCCACUAAAGCACCUGACUUGGUUUACCAGUCAUGAUUUGAACUAGUGAUGUACGCCUACCAUACAUCCACGCUGUAGUCUGUACUGCCUUCAUCACUGAACCAAAGCCCUGGAGCUAGUACUUGUUUCUUUGUAAUCUUGAUAUACAUAGUCACAAGAGUACCAAAAAAUGAUACAAAACUCAUGCUUAAUCAUUCUCAUGCGUGCAACACCUCCCUUUUUUUCUUUCCUUGGUGGAGAAACUUGCCGGGUAUUCUCUCAAAACUGGAGCCUGCAAAAUUUUCUUUACUUACUCAACUCUGCAUACAUUUCAUAGUAAUACACACAUACACUGACAAACUCAAGGAUUUCCAGACAACGCUUCAAGCUAGCCCAAGAUCUAAAAUGUCACAGACAUCAUAGAAUAAACUGUUUAUACCAAUCAUGACUAGAGUCAACCUACCAACCAAAACCAGAUUGUUUCUAUGGAUUAUUUCACAAAAAUAAGUAUUAGGUUUGGUUUUUGGACUAUAGGCUAUGGAAUAUUUCACAAAAAGAUCCGUUUUUUUUUAAUACAUCAACUCUGUUCACUGGAAUUAGUAUCUAGCUAUUGUUCAUUAAUGUAAUCUUUCUUAACCAAUUAUCAAAUGAUCAUUAAUUUAUAUAAUCUGGAUUACUUUACAUAAUCAAAACUUAACAGGUCUAAGAUUAAGUAAAAGGUGUCCAACAAAGUGGCAAGAUGAGCAAAUUGAUCUCUUUCAGAUGAAUAGCAAUUGAUAGAUCAAAGUUCACAAGAGCAGAAACCAAAUAGGAGAGAAUAUCAUGAAACUGAACGUAAAAACUUUUAAUAAGGAAAGUGUUAAGGGCUUUUUUUUUUUUUUUUUGAAAUGGUAAAUGUGUAUUCGUCACCAAAAAAUCUUUUUUUUGACCAAAAGAUUUUUUUAUAGGUGAGCUUGACAAACAUAUUUAUUUCCAAUUUCUCCAGUCAGACUUAAUAAUUUGGUCAUAUAUCCAGAGUUCCAACCACUUAACGCCAUUCAGAUUGUAGAAGCUUUUGUUGGGAACUGUUUUAUCAUAAUAUGUGACUGAAACAGUUGGACAAUUUUCUGCAUAGGAGCUCCACGGAUUCCCGAAUACAGUCAUGUACCAAAGAAAAGACCAGAUCUGCUCAACACACAUAGAAUGAAAAAUAGAAGAUCUGGAACAUAAGAAAGCUGACUCGAAAUCUACAAAUCUUUUAUUUAUCCAUGUCAUUGCAUGGCAUGAACUGUAGAUAGUUUCUUACUUUAGCUUUAGGCAAGUCAUAAAGAAAAUAUGGAGAAGUCUAAUUGUCCUCAAUAUAUAGAACAUCUCUUCAGGACGUCUCAGCAAACUUAUCUCCACAUCCCAUAGGACAGAAUUGUGGAAAGCGAUAAUGAAUUGAAGACAAGCAGGUUAAAGAGGGUUGAAUUGGGCAUAGAACUGGGCUAAGUUGAAGAUUGUUUUAAAAUGGGUUAAUGAUUAAACGGAUUAAAAUUUAGCCCCUUUUUAAAAGAACUGGGGGUAGGGAAAGGAGAAAUGGAGGUGGGGGAUUACAAGAAGGGGGAAUCAAACCAUCACCAACAGAGUCAACCCAUAAAAUUCUGGGAGGGUAAAAAAUAUUUGGGCCACAUUUGACACCCCUAAAUAUGAGCUUAACUAGAACAACAUGAUCAGUAAGGGUUUAUUUUACCGACUCCAAAUUGCUUCGGAUUUGAGACGUAGCGUAGUUUGUUGUUGUUCUUGUUGAGUAAUGAUGGUGCUUUUCAAAAUGAUUUUACUUCUUACCCCAAGAAUGAUCCUUGAAGCAUCAGUACACAAGUUGAUGCGUGACUAUAAACAGAAGGAGAUGAAGAGUAAUCUCGUGUCUGGCCUUUAAUCUAUUAGCAAAAACAUCACAACUAUUGAACUUCAUGAAACUAGAUUCCCACCUGGUUUACAAUCUACCGAAUAGAGACUUUAUAUUUCUUUAAUUUCUAUAAUGUUGAAAUGACACAAACAUCAGAAAUUUCUCUUUUGGCUUUAUGCAAUAGAAAUAUUAGCUGGCAGAUAGCUUUCUAAACUCACUGACACUAGUGGAAGUAUAAGCAUUAGCUUGCUAUAGGCAGGAAACUAUUCCUACUAUGGAUCUUAUAAGUCACUAUGUAAUUUUUGCAACUCCAAUUUUAUUAACUUAAACAAGCAGCAAUAACAGCAAUACCGAAAGGAAGUACCUUGCAUUGAAGGUGAACUUUUGCCAAUGAUUAAGCAAUCCUUUGUGUAAACGAUUCCCCUAUUAAAAGAGAAAAACAUACACCAUAUUGUUACCAGAAAUUUUGAUUCUAAGAACUACAAACUGGAAAAAAUUGCAGAUAAUAUAAUCAGCUGUAUCAACACAACACAUUGUGGACAGCUGAAAAACAGCCUAAAUAUUAACAUGUUCCCGACAGUCAAAAAACAAUAACAUGGUGUCGCAGAGAAAUUCUCCUUCUAUUUUAAAAUGCAGGUUUAGUAGUUUAAGUCGCUUGGAGCUUCCAUUUGUUAGGAUUUUUGAAAGUUACGGGCUAUGGCAUGUUUAAGGCCAUCUUAAUAUAUUCAUGUAAAUAAAACCAAUAACAAUAGCAACAACUAUACCUCAGUCCCAACUCCCAAAUAAGUUGGGGUCAUUUAUAUGAACUUUCACUGACCAUGUUAUUCCAUUUAAACCCAUCUCAUGCCAACAUUAUGCAAAUACAAAUAAGAAGUAAUAGAAGUUCUCUAUAUUUCCUAAACGUAUAAAUAUCUUAAAAGCUAAGCCAUUCCUAGAAAGCAUAGGACCUAGUGAAAGUGUCAACAUGUCUAUAACAUGUUGUCAACCAAUAGGUAUCGCCUAUAUAGAUCCUUUUCUUCCCACCCAUCUUUCACAAAGUUUGCAUUGAUCCCCAGAAAUUGUAUGUCCUCAAAGACAACUUCCUUCCAGCUGAUUUUAGGUCUACCUGCCCUCUUUUAACACCUACACUCACACCGUGGUGACGUGGUCCAUGUAAAUAAGACUAAAAAAGAAAUAAAAAAAUUAAAGCAUUAACCAGUAGGAUCAAGGAACACCUAGCAUAACUUGUAGAAUAAGAUGGAGCAAUAUCAAGCAAAUAACUUAACACACUGAACAUUGUCAGCAUUUAGGGGUCAGACUAGGAUAUAAGAGUAUGCAGAAAUAAGAACAGGAAUAUACCAAUUCAGUCAAAAAGGCUUGUUUGUUAAGCCCUUCCAGCGCUGUGAAUGCCGAUUCAAGCACCCUUGAAAGGUAUGCAACAACUCUGAUAAAGGGAGAAGCCAUAAGAAUACAGGAAAUAUCCUUCAGAAAAGAAAAAAAAACUUAAGAUGUAUUACGAGGGAAAGAGACAAGAAAAUAUAUGAAAGGCCAAACACUAUGCAUAGGAGAUUUCGGACUCCAAUGCAUUCUUGACAUAUUUAGAAUGGCGUGUGUUGAUAUUUUGAAAGCCAGUUAAAUAAUAGGCAGCUUAAUAUCCUUCCAGAGAUCAUCUUAUUAUAGUUUCUCUACUCUACAUGGCAUAAGUAAAGCUUAAAUUAGUGCAGACUUUGAACAAGCUUGCGUUGGCCGAUGGUCAGGGACAAUGCUGUCAUCAGGUGAUCGAUAAUCUGCGACCUUUUGUUCAGUUGACAGUACGCGUUCCACCUGAGAACAGUCAAAGAAAGUGUAACCUAAUAUCAAACGUAAACUUUGAUCUGAAAGGAAACAAAAUAGAAUCUGAGAAAUUCAAAACGACUGAUAAAAGGUGCCAUUGUGAUUGUAAUAAUGAGGCCAAGUCCCACAUAAGACUACCACAACCGUCAAACACAUUAAAUGUUACAAAUCAGACCUCUGCCAUAACAGUUUCAAUGCACUGCUGAAGCCCCUUAUAAGCAGCACCCUCUGCACUUGACAUAGCUGUAGCCAUUUCUUCACAGGAAGCAGCAUGCGCACCAUCCACAGGUAGUAAAAGUCGAGAUAUAGAGUUCGCAAAAUACUGAAGAAAAGGAGUUCAAUGAGAACCCAAAAAGAGACGACAUGAGAUUGUGUUUAUUUUUCUUUAAAACUGGUAAAUUUGUACAUGAGAUUGUGUUAUAUUUUAAUCACAAAGAUUUUCACUAGUUCACUAGCAUCAAACCAACAUACUUGCUGCACAAUAGCCACACUGCUCCCACAGCGUUGCACAGAAACCAUGAAAGAUCUGAAACUGCUUUCACCAGCAGCAGCUGCUGCUUCUGCCUAAAUACCACAGAUGAUAUGGUUAAAUCAGCUAAUCUAUGACUGUAUACUCAUGCACAAGGAAAAUUUACAUAUUUUUCAGACUGUAGUAGGCAUGAAUGCCAAAGUAAUUACCGCGGAAGCAGCUGCAGCAGCAACCCUUCGACUUACACUAGGAAGUACAAAUCUUUCCCUUAAAGCAGCAGCCUCAGUGAGACUGUCUCUGGCUCUUUCAAGACCUUCAGUUAUGUAUAUGCUCACCUGCAAGAGUUGGAAUAAGGCAGCUAAUGAUACCACGUAAAAAUGACAGAGAACAAUGGCAGAGCUAUCCUCCCUCAUUGAAUAUGCUACAUUACUAAUGCAAGGUCGUUAAGUAGGAAAGGAUCCAUACAUAAAUUCCAGUCUCCAAAAAGUAGAAGAAAUAAAAGGAUAUCUAUGUACAAUGAAUUACACUCAACCUCCCAAAAAAGGAAUAUUCAAUUACAUAGUCCGCAUGCCAAAUGAAAAUAACGUAAAUACUUCCAGCUAGAGCCAUUAAAAUGGGCUUAGCCCAUGGGGCCGGUCCAACCCAACCCGCUACCGGGGUAGGGUUGGGAUAUGAUUUUUCAAGCCCAUUUAAAACUAGGGCUUAUAAGCCCAUGGGCCAAAGCUAUUUAUAUAAGGGUAACUUACAAAAAUCUCACUAGUGUAUGAGCUGAUCACUUAGAUGCACAUUAUGUUGUAAUAUUACGAAUCUUACCAGAUUUUGGACGCUUUGGUGAGUCCAGAUACAUAUAACUCGGGAUACAUGGACUUAAAAUUAUGUAAUUUAUUCUAGAUACACUCUAUCCAAGUGGAUUCGCAUAUAUCUAAUUAGAUACAUAGACAAAUCCCGCACCCUCGCCUCCCUCCCAUCUCGCUCGCCACUCUAUAUGGAAUGCAUCACACCAGAUACAUGUAUCUCGCGUAUCUAGCAUCCUAGAUACAUGUUAAUCACACUAGAUUUUUUGCUACUGUUAUUGAAACAACACCAUUGUUUGUCAUAUUUGAUUUGAAAAUCUUCUCAUUUUCUUUAAGUUGGAGAAUUUUAAGUUUGAAAAAAAAAGAAGGGCUAGCCCCCCCCAGCUCGCGACCCUUCUAGGGUUGGGUUGGGUUGAGCAUUUUUCAGGCCCUUUCAAAUAAAGGACCGGCGCGCCCUAGCCCAUCAAAUUCCUUGGCUCAUGAGGCUUGGGCCUGGUGGGGCUGGGCUGGCCCUUUUUGACAACUCUACUUCCAGCAGAAACAAACUUUGAAAUAGAAAGGUAGUGAACUUACUUGGUCCAGAAGGCAUGUAAAAACAGCCCUUACAUUAGCAGCAAUUGCAGCAGGCUGUACAAAAAAAUUACCAAGCAAUUAGUUCAAUCCUGUAGGUCUGAAACGAAUCAGUUUGGAUCAAUAUCAAAGGCCGAGGACAAGGACUGCACCAGUCUACAGGAAACAGACACAUGACAUUUGAUUAUUUUAAUCCUCUAACAUGACCGAUAAACUUAUCAGAAAAAAUGUUGUCUUUAGUCUUCUUUAGAACUGUUCGCUAAUUAAUUCACUUUGUGUGUGUCUCUCUGUAGCAUUCAGGCUCAAUACAAUAUAUAUUCUCUUGGAUCUUCCACCUAGCUAAUUUUAUAAAUCAGGAAGCUGUGCCCAACCAUCUCAAAGGUAUAUAUGCAUUCCAAGAAAGAGUAGGUUGUAGCCAGUGCCGUACGCAGAAUUUUCCAUAAGCGUUGUCACUAUUAAAUUGGGCCUUACAGGUUCUAAAUAUUGGGCCAAACUGCCAAAAGCCCAAAAUUGCAUUUGCAAAAAAAAAAAAGAGGUUGUGCAGGUUUGAUCCCGCAACUCUCACGCAAAAGUUGGAACACCCAUGACCCAACCACCAAGCUACUGAGUAACAUUGGUACAAACAGAGUCCUUUUAACAUUUCUACCUUUCAUAAUUGUUUUAUUUAUUACUUUUAUAGGUAUAUCUAGUUAAAAAAAAUCAACGAAACGGUGUCACGUGACACCCCUUGGACCAACGUAAAUCCGUCCCUGGUUGUAGCUCCCUGCAACAUCCUGAAGCAUAUGUCACAUAUACCUGUGAUGAAAACAAAGUGCAUCUGGAUACUGCUUCUUCAUUCCAACGAACAAACUCUGUCACCACAGUAACAGAAAUUUGCUGGUGAGAGGAUGCCAUUGAAGCACCUUUUGAGCGUCCAAUUGUCCCAGAUGACUCGGAGGAUUGCUGGCCUUCAGCACGUAGCUCCUCCAUCUGCAAGGUAUAACCAAAGUGUGUUAACGCUAGUUCAUGAGUAAGAAUCAGUAUAAUGAUAUUUUAUCAGUGGAAUGCUUCAUAAACACCGAGUUCGGCAACUUGUUGCAAGUUUAUGGCACUAAUUAUGAUCUUUUUCUUCUAACAGUGUACCUCCCAAAGUUCAAAAUUGCUUAAUGGUUUUCAGAAAAACAUGAGUCAGAUAUCAUACAAAUAGAUUAGGUAAGAAUCCACCCAACGUAGUCCUAUUGAAACUUAUUUGGGCUCUGCAAGGAAAUAAUCUCAAGCUUUCCACAACCUGCUAACACAGCCAAUUGACAGUCCAUAAAUCUUAUCCCUUUCUCUCUUCAGACUCCAGUUUAUUACUUAUAUAUAUAUACAUAUGUAUAUAUAUAUAUAUAUAUAUAUAUAUAGAUAUAUAUCACCAUCAUCAUCAUCAUAACCAAAUAAAAUACUGGAAAGCAGAUAUGUUAACAUUUAGAGUGUUAUUUCCAGAGUUAUUUAUCUCCAUGCUGUAGAGGCGUCUUUAUAAAUUUUUCUUCUGCAAGUUAAGACCAAAAGGAAAGAGAGAACUAGACAGAGAUAUAUCCUAAAAUUAAGAUGAUGGACCACUAAGAGACAGACUGUCCCAACCUUAGCUUUGUAGAGUUGUCUAAGAGAGGCCUGCUCGUACUCAAUGUAUAUGUCUUUGUGGGGUAGAAACAGGGAUUCUGUUAAACCUGUCCAGAAGAAAAACAACAUGAGAUUGUAAUGCACAAACACCAAAGUCACGAUCAAGUACAACAGAAGCUAAGGUGCAACCAUAUUUAAACAGUAGAAAACUUCUUCAACAAAAAGUGUUGCAGUGCAAUUAUGCUUGAUUUUACCAAUCAAAAUCUUUCUGUACAUUUAUUUUUUUGUGGAAGUAAGAUGUUAUAUGAGCAUGGCAUUUUCUGUACUUUUUGGGAACUCAAGCAGAUAGAAUGACAGGAUAGCACAAGAAAGGUCAGGUUUUAGAUUUGAUAUUAGAUCCACAUAUUCUCCAUUGUAGUUAGUUCUAUUUUAACUAAAGAUAACUAUGUCAGCAACUAGGAAGAGUAGCAUUCAAUGUUAGAAUGCUAAAGGUUAAAUAAGAAUAUUAGAAGUGCCCAGUUCUAAAGUAAGGUAUUCUCCAACAUUGGACAGAUAACAUAUGUGUAUCGUGGUUGACACCAAUAAAGACUAAAGAGGUGUGUCUUUUAUUUAUCCAAUCACCGAAUCAUCAGUAUCUCUUCUUCUCUUAUUUUCUCAUAUGGUAUCAAUCCUCUACAAUCUAGGUAAAGAUCCAAGUACUUCAGUCUACUGGGAAGGUCAGCUGACUAGAGUUUUUCUGUUCUUUUACACCGUUGGUAAAGGCUAGCCUAAAGCACAUUUCAGCCCUGAAGCAUGGUGAAGCCCACGUUGGGUGCUUCACCUUGCUUAAUAGGCGCUUUAGGUCAAGGUGCUAAGGUGUGUGCAACCUCACCAACGGGGGUUUCUGUCUUCAAGGACACAACAACAUAUAUAAAUAAUUCAACUAUAGAUUUUCCAUUCUUUUGUCCAAAUAAUCAUUUUUUGUAUUUAUAGUUACAUUUUCUUGCAUUACAUUUCUUUUUUUUGUUCUCUCUUCAUUGGUGGUUUUUCUGCGGUUAGCCUAUAGUUUGAUUGCAUUUAAAGCUCCAACAUACUUUGACGCUUUUUUACUUUUCACUUUUCACUAAUUUGCUCUUUUAUAAUUUUAGUACUGAUACUGUAAAGAUGGAUCUUGGGCCCAACUCAACCCCAAAAGCUAGCUCAUGAGGGGAGGAUUGUCCAAGUCCAUAUAAGAGACCAAAUUCCCAUCCCUUAUCCGAUGUGGAAUUCUUAACACUCCUGCGCACGCCCAGACCUUGUCAAUUGGAGCAUGGACACUAUAAUAUGGGGGCCCAACAUUGGCGAAUAAAGAAUUGGGAUGGGUCUGGCUCUGAUACCAUGUAAAGAUGGAUCUUGGGCCUAAAUCAACCCCAAACUAGCUCAUAAGGGGAGGAUUGUCCAAAGUCCUUAUAAAGAGACCAAAUUUUCAUCCCUUUUCCGAUGUGGGAAUUCUUAACAGAUACCAUGCUAGCGGAACCACUCUUAAUUUCGGUGCACAUUUCAGUCUACUGUGCUCUUUUUUCCUGAACGUUCUAGCAGCACACACAUUUUUCGAUGAAGAGAAGUCGCGUGAGUUUGUUUUGCAUAAGUUUUAAAAUUAACCUUAGAUUCUCGCUUUUCUCUCUAAAGCGCAGAGCUUCUCGCUUCGACACCAAAAGCGCAUGCUUUCUUUUCCUCCGGCGCCUCACUUCAGUGGCAGAGAAGCGCUGAAGCUCGCGCUUUUAAUAACACUGGUUGGUAGUUCCUUCAACGAUCUAUAAACGAGCAGGCUUCACUAUCCCAAUUCUACCUUCUUUUUUCCCCAUUCAAUAAUUGAAAAUAUCCAAUCUUCUUUCUUUUGCUUCUACCUCCCAUUCAAUUAAUUGAUCUUCUUCCUUUACGCCAGAAGGAAAAAAUCAAAAGAAAAAACUUCUCUGUCAUCUUUUUUCACAACCGAGUAGAUCAAACUUAUUAGCUGCUUAUUCUUCUGCUACUUUUUAGUUGUUUUCUAGCAAUCUUCAUUGUUUUUUCACUUCCUCGAGACGAGAAAAAUGAACUGUCUGCAAGUGAAUUGGGGUAAAUCUUUUUUUUUACAUCCAAUAGCAAUACCUUCUAGUGUAGCGCUUUAGACAUUUGUCACAGCCCUUAUUGUUUCCUCAUCUUAGUUAAUAAAGCUAUUUCAGAGUCACGACACUGACAAAAAAAUUUGGGGCUUGUACAUGUCUCCAUAAAAGUGCAUCUCAAAAUAUUAUUUUGGAGCAAUAUUUGGUCCAAAUGAAAAGCAGUUAUAUGCAGAUCUUUGUAUCUUCACUUGAAUCUCCAUCACAUUUACACAAUAAAAAUUCAACCAGAUGUUUGCAAGGAUGAGAUGAUGGAAAGUAUUUCUACCUUCAACAUCCAAGUCGCCACACCCUACACCACGCAAGUCUCUAGCAAGCUCUUGUGUCUUCUCAUAUGCCACGGCUAGCAAUCUGAGAUACUGAAUGCACAAAAAUGAAUAAAAAAGGAUAAAUUAGUGGCUCAUGUUUUUCCCUCAAGGUCUGUACGAACAGAAGAAAAUUCAUUGUCAUGUUACUCACUAAUAUAAGUCCUCCUUCUUCCAUGGGAGGUGGACUAACAAGAGACGGUUUCAGUAAGAGUUUCUCAAGUAGCUUUGGAACACGAUCCUCCAAGACACGCUGAACAACCACCACGGUUUAGUCACUAUAUAACAAUCCACAGUACAGUUUUUACAGUGACACAUUCGGCAAUCAUUUUAACUUGAACGGCAACACCAGAAUCAAUAGAGAAUAGAAGAUGGCUUAGAGGAAGCUCAAAGCAUCUAUAGGGAACAAUGUUCAGAAAAAACAGUAAAUAUUCAUAAGAAAGUAGUAUGCUAAGUCAUCUAGCAAGAAAUUUUUUAGCAAAAUCACUCUGCCCAUAUUCUGAGCUAGCUUGUUUUAUUACUGGCAUGCACCAUCACACCAGAAGAAGAUAAUUCAACAACUAACUACCUCAAGCACAACGCCAGUAAUAAUACAACCAUACCUGAACUAGUAUUGACAUUACAUCAUUUGGGGACGGAAAAACAGCUGCUAUUGUGGCUGCUUCUUUGCGCACAGUCUCUGAAAUUAAAUCCAAGGCAUCAAGAGGCAUGAAUUGAAAAGAAAACCACUUUUCGAUUCAGAUCAAUUUCAGUUUUUAUAACCUGUAAUCUCUUUAAAAAUUGAAGAAAGACCACGUGCAACAUUGCUAGGGCUGGGUUGUGCACCCUGAUCUCCAAGAACCAAUUCAGCAUCUGCAUUCAUGACCUCCAGAUCGAACAUUGGACAUAAUCCCACAUAGUGUUGCAUAGCACUGGUACCCCGGUUAAACUAAUUUCCAACAUUAAUAUGUCAAAAUCAGAAAAAGUUUCUGAAUGUAUAUAACCUAGAAUCCGAUACUGAAUUCUAAGUAAACAACGAAAAUUUCAGAUGGCACUCAAAAGGGAAGCAACCAACAUGAUCUAGAAUGAAAAAGUAAAUAACAAUUCUCAUAAAGCUCCAUGUUAUCUGUACACUUUCUUUUUAAAAAAAUCAUGAUCAGCUGCACCUUAUCACAGUUGUUCCGUAGAACAACUUUACACAUGGAGAUUUCACCUGAGGAACAAAAUGAUAGGUCUACAUAAUUUACUUGUUUACCUGUGACAAAAUUUUAGCGCAUUCCCGCAUUGUAGACAGCUCACGUUUCUGUGAAGCCAAAUCAAAUCGAGAUAGUAAUCUGUUUUCCAGCUCUACAGCCACAAAAUAAGAAAAAAACUUAAUCUGUCCUUUAACAAGAAAGCAAACUCUAUUGAAUUGUAAGUAAAAGGCAAGGAAGAAAAUUAAGUAUGGAUAAUGAGAGUUCUCACUUCUUUCUUUUAAUCAGUAAGUUGCCACAGUUUCUAUAAAUGUUAUUUUCUCAACAUCAUCGUUCUACAAAUCGUGCAUACCAUAUAUACUAUCAAUCAAUCAACUACGUCUAAAUUCUAAAUUAUUUGGUGUCAACUUUAUGAAUCCUCUGUAUUUACUCCAUUCUAUCAGGUCUAUUUCUUCUGCAUGCAAGAUUGGUAGAUAACUUGUUUCCUAGGGAAAAUUAAGGGUUAAUAUCUAGAGGUUUUCUAAAUCUCACUUAUUCUUACAUGUACAUAUAUGUCUUCAAAUAGAAUAGCAAGACUUUAUGAACAAAUCUAAUGUAAAUAUAACAACAACUAAGUCUAAACAUUUAAAGCAGAAGGAAAACAAGGAAGAGUAAAAAAAGUAACUGCCAAACACAGGAGAACAUUAACAGCGGAAACCUUCCCCAGUACCACCUAAGACAGAUCUUAAAUUGCAGUACUAUGUGUCCGACUCAUAAAAAAACGCAUGAAAGAAAAGACGGACUUCAUAUAAUGGUUUCUAUCUCAGUUCAUACCAAGAUCACUUUCAACUAUAUGGUUAAAACAGAUAACAGUUACCAAUUUCAAAAAAUAUAUGGUUAAAACAGAUGCCUAAAAAUUAAGCUCUGUCAAUUUUGUUGUGUACUUACUUAAAAAAAAACACUAGCACUCUGAGCUACAUCAAUUCUGACUUAUAAGGGGUCAUUAUUAGCAUACCUCAUACAUAUACAUAUUUUGAGAAGGCAUGUGUCUACAUAUAAUUUUUUGAGAAGGCAUACCUCAAUGCAUAUAUUUAUCAACUUCUUUUCUCUUUGCCCUUUUUCUUUUGGUUGAUAACAGUACAAUAGGGGUUAACUUGUUGGCACCUAGAUUAACCAACUGAAAACCUGCUACCUCCAACCAACACAACUCUAGGGUUACUCUAAUUUGUCCUCAUGUCGAUCAAGAUUAGACAAGUGGAAAGAUACAUUCGCAUUUGGUGUCCUAUGUGAUGAGAAUGCACCACCAAGAGUUGAGACAAAGGUAAGUUUAUGGAAUGGUUGUCAGACCAACUAUGUUGUAUGGAGCAAAGUGUUUGCCAGUCAAGAACUCACACGUCCAGAAAAUGGAAGUAGCAAAAGUAAGGAUGCUUAGAUGGAUAUGUGGGCACACUAAGAGAGACAAGAUUAGGAACGAGGAUUACCGGGCAAGGUGGGGAUGGCCUUCAUGGUGGAGAUGUGGGAAGCAAGACUGAGAUGGUUUGGGCAUGUGAAGAGGAGGAGGAGCACAGAUGCCACAGUAAGGAGGUGCGAGAGGUUGACGGCGAUAGUAUUAAAGAGAGGUAUAGGUACUCCGAGGAAGAAUAGGAGAGAGGUGAUUACACAUAACAUGGCACAUCUACAACUCAUCAAGGACAUGAUCCUAGACAGGAGGGCAUGAUGUUCGAGGAUUAAGGUAGAAGGUUCGUAGGUAGUCGAGCAAUUUCUUUCUUUUCUUUGGGUCAGAGGAUGGUUCUAGUCAAACAUGGUAUUAUUAGUAUCAUUCUACCAUUUUCUUACUCUUCAAUUCUAACACUAUUGUUGUUUAUUUUGCUUUGGUUAUCUUUACUCUUUUUGCUAUAAAUACUUUUUUUUUCUUUGAUAUUUUCAUCAUAGCUUGUUUUACUCGUGUAUUUUUCAAAACUGUUUAGAAAAAUGUUUUUCUUGAGUCGAGGGUCUAUUGUAAACAACCUCUCGACCCCGCAGAGUUAGGGGUAAGGUAUGCAUAAACCCCACCCUUGUCAGAUCCUACUUGUGGGAUCACACUGGGUAUGAUGUUGUUGUUGUUGUUGUGAUUGGCUUGUCUCUAGAUGGAUUUCUCGUCAUAAGAAGUAAGUGCUAGAGAUGUGGUGUGAUGUUUUGCAUUCAAGGCCUUUGGUAAAGCUACUAAAGGUAGAUCCAGGGGGUUUCAAAUAAAUCACAAUAUACAGAGCAUCAACAGUGCCAACCAAUGUAUGUGACAAUCAAAGGAGAGCUAAAAGUUUGAAGAAGCAUUUUGGCAAGGUGCAGGUUAAUAUCACUUUUCAUUAUGCAGCCGUGAGUAUCUGCUGCAAAACCUUACCUAUCAGAAGUUGUUUCUCAAAACAAAUUAAAAAAAGAAAUCUCACAAACCAAAAAAAAAAAAAAAAUCACGAAUAAAGGAAAUAAAACAGGAUAAAGCUCAAAGAAUUCCUUUAACUGAAUACAUAGCUCUAGUGCUCGACAAGCUACUCAAAUUUAACCUAGCACAUAAGCAAUUAAAAUAGUUAUAUUUGAUUUAAUAAUUCUAUUCUAAAUUAAAAAUGAAUAAGUAAAUAAACAAAAACCAACAUGGUCAAACCCAAAUAGCUCACAGAAAGGCCUCCCUAAGUUAACAACCCAAGUCUAGUUUCCUUCUGUCUUAGCUAUCCACUCAUCACUUGGUAUAUCUCACUAUCUUUUCGAUAAAUCCCAAAUUUCUAUAUACUUUUCAUGAAUCGUGAUUUUUUUCCUUUUAAUUAAGCUUUGAACAUUGUACUAUUUAAAAGUUACACACUGGUCACAGGUUAUGAAAUUCGUUGUUCUUUUUCUCUUUCAUUUUACACUUGGUAAACCUGACUCCUUUCCCACAAACCCCCUCUAUCUUUCCCACUUUUUUCCUUGGUGACGGGAACACCACCCUCAAGGUUGUAGGUGGAGAAUACUUUCUACUAGGCUAUCCCUACCUUAUCCUCAUGAAAUUUGACCUUGCAACUUAAAUUCUUGUCCCUCGAUCACCAGUUUUAUAAUAUAAAUUUCAGGUUUUGAGAUGUUCAAAUAUGUUUUCACACACUUCAAUGAACAGUAAUGCUUUAUACAACUAAUCAUGGGGUUCAAGCAUUCAAAUACUCAAAAUUUCCUUUCGCAACAACCUGCAUAAAAUGUUACUCAAAUUGAAAUGACUUCUUAAGACCUUAAUUAUAUCACAUAAAAAUUGGACCAUGAGAUAUGAUCUCUAGUAAUCUACCCUUACGAGUAUGUCACAGCCAAACUAAGAUACUGAAAUGGAACUAUGUAUCAGUAUAGCUACUCGCAUUAGGUUACUGAGCUAGUGGCAUUGGUGUACCUAACUGAAGCUUUCACAAAUUCCUGCACCAAACAACCCUUGCCAAAAUCAAAACAAACUAUAAAACACUUCACUUAGAAAAAGACUAGAGUAACUCAGGACAGUAUUUGCCAAUUGAACCCCACAGAAGUUAAGUUCAAUUGGCAAAGGUUGAGGAACUAGUGUCUUAGGCCACAAGUUUGAGCCUUGCGCCAAGUGAACUAAUUCUGGUGUUUAAGUGGAGAAGGGUAGAGUGCAGGCCCAUCAUCUCCGAGUUUCUGGGGCUGCAGUAGGCCUAAUAGGUUGGCUCCAGACAGAUUUCUCAAUCAUUAAAAAAAACACCCAGGACAGUAAAAAGGAUUGAACCAUAUAGUCACUAAGCGCUUGUCUCAAAAAUUGGAAGAAUCGUUCAUAGGGUUUUGAAGCUUCAUAUCUGACAUUUAUAGUAAUAGAUUUACUUCCUUUACUCAACCACUUAAUCUAUGGUAUGGAGUUCAAUCAAGUACCCUGUUCCUUUACAAAAAUGCUUCCUGCACUUAUUAAGUAGAACAGCAAAUGGAGGGUUCGAGGUCUUUAAAAUCUGUCUUACAGUUAUAACAAGAAAAAACAAGUAGAAGUGGUAGAUGGAGAAAUAAGUUCCUGAUUAUGUACCAUUGCAGUAUUCUUGGAGAUUGGCAACAGCAACUUCCAGUCCUCUACUCGCAGUUGCAUUACCGACAGCUGAUGAGAUGGUCAUGGCUUGUCCUCCAAUAUCAUCCUCAGCAAAUGAUCCUAGUAUGUAUGUGGAAAGAUAUGUCACUCUUCAUAAAAAUCAAGGAAAAUGAAGAAAAGAAGUCCUAACAUGAAGAUCCCUGGAAAAGAAGAAUAUUACUGAAUGUAACUGCAACUAGAAGAAGACACUAUUGUUACACUCUUGUAUACCAAGAAAGAAAUCAAAGUCAAGUCCAUUUCUUUUAUCUAAAGAGGAACAUCACGGAAGGAAAGGAUAAGAAAUCCUCAAACAAAAAAGAGCAUUGUGUAAAGUGCAUGCCUCAGUAGAAUUAAGAUAUUAAAAAACUAAGUCUAAAAUAAUACGAGCAAUAAGAAGAAUGAAUAGUGAUUGAGACAAUGGGUCACUGACCAGGACCUGCAAAAUCCAACUGUCACACUAUACCACUCUCAGAUGCGCCCCUCCAGUGGAGAAUUUAUGUGUAAAAAAAGAGUCAUGUGAACCCAUGGUCAUCUGACUAAAAUAGAUUUAUUAUUUGUUAUAAUACUUAAAUAUAUCUAGUAUUAUCUGAAGGCACAAUCAAAAGAGAUUGAGUGGUUCACUGGUUGAGAGCUAGUCCUAACUCCAUCAAGUCAAGGGAUCAAAUCCCACUUACUGCCAUUUGUUUCUUUUUUUUAAAAAAAUCUAGAGCAGCCUUCCUUAUAAAACUGCCCCCUUCAUUUUUGUUUUUUUAAUAUCUCUGAUGAUAUUUUUUGUGAUAAUAUAAUUAAUUAUUUGCUCGCCAAGUUGUUGUCAUCAUAACAUAAAAACUUAAUUUUUUUUUAAGAAAAAAACAAAAGAUAUGAAUCCUCUAGUCCAAUUGUUCCUUUGAAAUUUAUAUCUAAUCUUUAAACAAUGGUGCACCCGUUGUCUUGAAUCCUGGAUUCAUCUCUAGCCUGCCCAAUCCUCAAAAGAGAACGUAAAAAGGAAACGAGCAGCAGGAUAUUCGCAUCAGCUAUUCUAUUAUGCUAUUUACCAUAAAUAUGACAAAUCCCUCAGUAAUGGAAAACAUCUGCAGAAUGCAAACCACUACACAUUUUAAGGCACUGGGCCAAAAUAAUUUGUCGUUCACAAAGUCUCGUAUGAUUAUGAGAUGAUAAUACAGAGAUACAGAUCUUAUGCCAUGGAAACCUCAUGGGAAGACAAAGUGUUAGCUUUGGGUAGUCUAGGAAGGAAAAUCUAAAUCCAGGGUCUACACAGGAAAGAGAGAACCCUGCUUCAGGCUGCUCUAUGCAUUGCUGAUUUUUUUCAUUUUUAGGAAAAGGGAACUGAACCGGAAAAGAAAGAGGACAAAGACAAGAUAGAGAGAAAAUAAAGAGAUUAGAUUCAGGACACUGCUAUAGAACUCUAAAUUUGAAGUCUACUAUAUAAACUGUAAAUUAAAAUUUCAAGGAAAAAAAAAAGGCUAAUGACAUGUUGGCAUCUUUCUUAAAACUAAGAAGCAGACGAUUUUCUUCACUUUAUACAUCGACUAGUAGGUAAUAAACACAAGGAGUUAAUACAAUUGACAGCUGAAACAAUCAUGGGAAAAAAAUUUAGGUAAAGCAAGUGUGAUGUUUACAACAUGAGAAUAUCGAGGAAGCAUAUGGAUCUCACUUAAUUUUUGAGCAAUUGAAGCAGCUUCCGCAACACGACUAUCAUCAGAAAAUAAAGGAGAAAGUUCCAUCAGGUCUCCUGGACUGCCAUUGAACUCCAUCAAGUACUAUCAAAGGAAGCAACUAAUACUGUCAGUUUUAAAAUGAGGAUAGAACUUGUUUUACAGCAUGAACGAAGUAAGUCAGAAGUUCUUUCGUUAACCGAGAAGUUAACCAGUAAAAGUUUACCUUUAUGAGCUCUAUCGUCUGACUAGCAACUUCUCUCUGAGCAUCUGCACUCUGAACACAAAAGGAGAUUCAAUAUAUUCUGAAAAUACUAACAGCAUUCUCUGAUGACAUGGUCUUAAACAGCUUGGAAAACAGAUCAACAUAAAAAUUAUGGAGUUGAGCAAAAGAUUCUCUUUCUUUCUACUCAUAAAAGUAGGCAUUUCAUUAUCAGUAGGAGAAACACACAGUAAAAGUGGAAGAAUAUUUUUCUGGAAAAAAAAACAAGUUGCACUUGACCAUAAAAUAAAAACAUUAACCUUAAUCAAGCAUCAAAACAAGUGCUUACAAGACUUUCAAAAUACAAAGAAGGUAUUAAGCAGCUAUACCUGUAGAUGAUCUCCUAUUUUGGCAGCCGUUUGACCCACACUAGAUAUACGCAAGUCCAACCGUGCAAAGCUAUCAAACAAGCCGUCUACACCUUUUUCCAGCUGCACAAUGCAAUGUUCUUAAACUUGAGGCCUUUAUUUAGGUAAAAAGAAGCUCCACACAGCAUGAAGGAUAUUGAACACCUUUGGAAGUACACAGGGAAGAGAGAGACACUGAUCGAAACAAGUGGAUCAACUCUCAUUUUCAUAAAACAAAUUUCAGAAGUAUAUUGAAAACAGCCCCAUACAUACUGUGAUUUAAAAUGUUACUCAACAUCAUUUUGUCAUUAUUUAUUCUAUCAAGACACUUAUUAUGGGGCAGAGUACAACACAAUGAGGUAAUUUAUUACAAAGAUAUUUUCCAGAAAAAAUAUUUCCGAUGACUGAAAUAUUAACUUCAUCUCAUAAUGGCCACGAUACUGAAUUCAAUACACUAACCUCAGAAAGUGUCUUCCGGUGCUCUGAAUCUUGGACAACAACUUCCUUUUUAAGAUCACUAAGGUUCCCAUCAAUCUUUGAUUAAAUAUGAGGGGAUUAGAAUAAAAGUCAUCAGCAAAAGUAUUAUCUCACUGAAUCCACAUAUAAUGCUUUACCAUACCUGUUUUCUUAGAUCAACCAAUUGUUUACAAGAAUUCUUAAAUAAGGAUAAUAAAGCAUUAACUUCAGGGAAUAGGGGACUUGACAGUCCUUGUGCUGACUUUCCCGCAUCUGGUGGUGCUCGCAAAUUCCCAUUUGGUAGAGCAUCACUUCCAACACCAUUUCCAUGCCCUUCCGCAGAAUCUGAUUCUUCUUCUUGAUAAGAAGGCAAUAUCUCAUUCACCAAGUUACCAAACAAGCCAUCAAAGGAGAAAGCCCCCUGCAUUUAGUAAAUAGAGCACAUUGCUGUCAGUUAACUACAAAAUUUCUAAAGCUUAAGUUGGGAUAAUCUUCCAGUCAAAUUAAAUGGUAUCCAAGGCAUCACCUUAAAAUCAUCUAUGUCAAGAACAAGCGGAUCAGAGUCGGCAGAUGCAGAUCCUGAAAACCUGUCAGCCGUCAUUCCAUCUCUAGACUCUCUCAUCUAUUCUAAGUCAAAAGAAAAUGGAACCAGAAAUUAUCUCAGUCAUCUUCACUAAAUAACUGGAUUGCAAUCAUUUGACAAGCAGGAAAACAAAGUUAAAAAGUAGCAUAAAGUUGGUGUACAACAGAAGAACUGUGAUCAGUCCUCAUUUAUUCAUUGAAAACAGCUAUAUGACAGACAAGUAACGAAGAAACAGGUAGCAACAAAAAAAAGUGAAUUUUUUACUAAUAUAAAUUAUGCAAGGGAAAAACAAAAGCCGCAAGACUUUCAGCAAUUUCAUACAAAAUCAAAAUUCAGAUGAGAUAUAAGUGUGCAUAUUUGCCAUAUCCAUUAACUACUAGAUCUGCUCUAGACUAACCUUAUACUGAGCAGGGACACUUUUUUACCGAUUAAAUUCUAAUUUUAUUAAUAAGGGAGAAAAACUCCCGUAUAUGAGAGGUAUACCAAAAAGAGUAACGAAUAUAGAAAGAUAUGAUUCUCUACGAAAGACAUCCAAUAUUCUACAGAAAUGAGAACUUCAUAGGUGCAAGCAAAAGACAUUAAAAACAUGAGGUAACCUCAAAUGUACAAAAUCAAGCUUUUUCCCUACAAAAACUCUCUUAUUUCUCUCCCUCCAUAUUGUCCAUAUGAGUGCUUAUGAAACAACAUGCCAUGUCUAGUACCUGGCAUAGUCCAUUGUAUCAUGAACUAUCUUGAGAUCUCCCACCCAUACUCGUGAUGCUCCCUGACAAUUCAGUAAGAGAUGAUCCACAUCCUCUUCUAAGUGUUUACCCUUGUGCACAAACCAACAUAUGUAAUCAGAAUCCUACUCUUUCUCAAGUUUUCAACCAUCAGAAUCACACCUCUAACCGCCAACCAAGAAAACAAAAUUCAUCUUUCUUGGCACCAUGGGGAUUCAAACUAAUAGAUGAAGGAAACUUGAUUUCUCAAACUAGAAAUGUACAACAAUAACUCCUCACUGAGCAGGAACAGAUAUUUGUUCUUACAUCACCUUCAACUAAAUUCUGAUGUCUCAUUUAAAACAACCAAUACCUUAUAGCACUCAUCCUGAUGUUAUGGAUAUCAAUGAUACAUGUGUUCUUUUUUUAAACUGGUAACAUUUGUAUUUCAUAUAGUACUUAGGUAGUACUGAAAAACAUAUUUAUUUACAAAAGCAGAAAGGAAGUAUAAUCUAUCCAAAAACUGAACCAAAUCUAAAUGGAUCCUAAAACAUCUAUGAUUGACUCAGUUUCAUUGGAGUAGACAUUUGUACACCAAAAGCAAAACAACAAAAUACACUUGAGCUUUACUUCCUGGAGGUUGUUGUUCCUAUUCUCAAAAUAUCUAUCGUUCUCUCCCUCCAUAUAGUCCACCAAAUACUUUUUUGAAACUGGUAACAUUUGUAUUUCAUAUAGUACUUAGGUAGUACUGAAAAACAUAUUUAUUUACAAAAGCAGAAAGGAAGUAUAAUCUAUCCAAAAACUGAACCAAAUCUAAACGGACCCUAAAACAUCAUGAUUGACUCAGUUUCAUUGGAGUAGACAUUUGUACACCAAAAGCAAAACAACAAAAUACACUUGAGCUUUACUUCCUGGAGGUUGUUGUUCCUAUUCUCAAAAUAUCUAUCGUUCUCUCCCUCCAUAUAGUCCACCAAAAACAAGCAGGGAUCAUCCUCCAUCUUUCUCUGUUUGUAGCCCCCAACUCCCAGCCAUCUCCCAACUGAAUAGAGUCUCAUCAAUCUUGCUAGGCAUUCUCCAAGAUAUGCCUCUGAGAUUAAGGAAAAUCUGCCACAGCUGCCCAGUAAAGUUGCAAUGUAAGAAGAGAUGUCUCACUGUCUCAUUAGCCUUACCACAUAAGGAACGUCUGUUGCAUAGAGAGAUUCCUCUCUUGGCCACAUUAUCCAAUGUCAAAACUGCUUCAUUGGCUAGUAGCCAUGUAAAGCAUGCCACUUUGUGUGGCACUUUGAUCCUCCAGAUUUGCUUCCAAGGCCAUUUGAAGCCUUGAAUGCCACCAAACUUAUUUGUUUGUAUCCUUCUUUCACCUUGUAACUACCUUUGUUGUGCCCCUGCCACCAUAAAUAAUCCUCACUUGUUUGUAUACCUUGGAAAUUCUCUAGAACCUUAAACAGUUCAAGUAUUCUGGGAAUUUCUUAGUCAUUCAGAUUUCUUCUAAGGAUCAGAUCCCAGCCUUGUUGUGUCCACAUUUCAGCGACAGUCUUCUGUUGGUGUUGAGCCAAUGUAAAGAUGUCAAGAAAACGAUCUUUGAGGCUCAUACCACCCAUCCAUUUAUCAAACCAAAAACUGGUUUUUCUGCCAUUUUGUACCUUGACAAUUGACUGAUUACUCAGGAAAGGCCAAAAUAUUCUGGUGGAUUUCCAAAGGCUAAUCCCAUAGGGGGUAUUUACCUCUUUGGUUACCCAUUUAUUCAGCUCCUCAUACUUGUUGUUGAUCACCCUAUACCAUAGUGCUUGAUCCUCCUGGUGGUACCUCCAUAACCAUUUCACCUUAAGAGCUUUGCUAUGGUUUUUGAGAUUCUUGAUACCUAAUCCACCUUGCAUCUUACUUCUGAUGAUGUGUUCUUCCACUUGACUAAGUGAAAGCCUUUUCUUUCCUUAUUUCCUUGCCACAGGAAGUUUUUUCUAAUCUAGUCCAACUUCUGAACUACUGACUGGGGAAUAUGGAAGAGCAUUUAGAACCAGAGUUUAUCAGAGUUAAUCUACCUCCCAAAGAGAGGUAUUGUGAUCUCCAUCUAGCUAGUGUCUUUUCGCAUUUCUCCAAUAUUGGGUUCCAAAUGUCUAUGGAUCCCGACUUUGCCCCCAAAGGCAUGCCCAAGUAUACUGAUGGCAGAGUACCUAUCACUCCUCCCCAAGGUUUGUGAGAGGUGUUCCAUAUCUGGAACCACAUUAAUUGGAUACAAAUGGCUUUUGUUCUAGUUUAUAUGUAGUCCAGAUAUGGCUUCAAAGUAAACUAGUAUAAGUCUCAAAAUCAGCAAUUGCUCCUCCUCAGCCCCACAAAUAAUUAGUGCAUCAUCGGCAUACUGCAGGUGUGUGAUCUCCACACUAUUCCCAGCAACCUUACUGACUUCAAAUCCAUGUAUUCUUCCUGUUGUCUUGGCUAUCUUCAACAUAUUGUUAAGCCCCUCCAUAGCUACGAUCAACAGGAAGGGUGAUAAGGGAUCCCCUUGCCUGAUUCCUCUGUGUGCACUGAAAAAGCCUUCAGGAGAUCCAUUGUUGAGUACUGAAAACUUAACAGUUGAAAUACAAAACUUGAUCCAAAGGAUCCAUCUGCUACCAAAUCCCAUCUGUCUCAACAUAAAUAGAAUGAAAUCCCAAUUCACAUGGUCAUAUGCUUUCUCAAUAUCAAGUUUGCAUAGUAUACCAGGUUUCUUCUGGGACACUCUAGAAUCAAUUGCUUCGUUAGCUAUAAGCACUGCAUCCAUUAUCUGUUUGCCUCUAAUAAAAGCCAUCUGUUGUUUGUCUACCAACUUAUUCACAACUCUCUUCAACCUUUCUGUCAAAACCUUGGGCAUUAGCUUAUAGAAGCUUCCAAUUAAGCUGAUGGGUCUGAAGUCAUUGAGUUCCUUUGCUCCUAUCUUCUUGGGAAUCAGUGUUAUGUAGGUUGCAUAAUAGCUCUUUUCAAACAUCCAGUUGACUGAAAAUUGUGGAAAGCCCCCAUAAUGUCAUGUUUAAUGAUCUCCCAGCAAUUAAAAAAAAAAAAACCAUUGUGUAUCCAUCAGCACAGGGGCUUUGUCUAUAGCACACAUUUUUAAACACUCAAGUACUUCUUGUUCCUCAAAAUCUGCCAGCCACCCUCUGUAUUGGUAGGAUGAUAAUGAUACAUGUGUUCUCAAAAAGCAUCUAACCAUCUAUAGGCUUAUUCCUAGUUCGAAGAAAUUCCAAGGUGAUUCAUAAAAGACUUGAAUCAGCCCUUGUCGCUAAUAGGAUAGCAUGUUCACAACUGCCAGAAUAAGUUAUACUUCUAGGCCAAUCAAACUCACAUGCUGGUGGCAAAGCAAAAUCACAACAUUAAAUAUCAGUGGCACUUGCUAUUAUUAUAAAAAAUUUGCCUAUGUGAGCUCGCUCACAUUGCGGUCCCAAGCCAGGAUAAAGGAAGAGAGUGGUCAAUCCGAAGCAGCCUCUCUACCCUAUAAAGGUAGGGGUGAGGUUGCGUACAUCUUACCCUCUCCAGAUCCCACUUGUGAGAUUACACCGGGUUUGUUAUUCUUGUUGUUGUUGUACUUAGUAUUAUUAUAAAAAUAGAAGGUUGUGAUUAGUCCAAAGGGCGGCGGAUCACAGACGGAUUUCUCGGUUAUCAAAAAAAAAAUAGAAAUAAUGGAGAUGGAAAGCUGAAAUGGCAUAUGACCAUGUAAUUGACAAUUCCCACCAAAGUUGUAAGAUCCAUCGGCAUUGUCAAAUAUAGUCUGGUUGGAGUAAGCUUGUAUCUUAUCUUUCAAACUAAUUACCAACCGCAUACCUAGCAAGCGAUUCCUCCCCUCUUUGUAUGGAAAAGCUUUUAAAAGCCUAUUAGUUAGUAUUAGUAACAAAACUAGUUAAGGGGUUCGUAGUUGUCGCAAUCGGUUAAUUUAGUUGAUCUUGGCUUUGCAGCAAGGAGACCCUUUUCUUGUAUAGCUUCUAAAGGUUCCUUUUAGUUUCUCUUGGCUUUGAGACAAUAUCCUUUAUUUUAUUUUUUUAUAAGACAAGUUCUAUUAAAAAGGUACCAAUAUGGAACAAAAUUUAAAAAAAAACCCAGCAAUAACCACAACAAGGUAACUACAUUCCUCCCAUCUACUCUAGAAAAAACAUAUAUUGUUCCAUAUUUUUCUAUAACAUGUCUUUUAGACCAUAAAUACAAAGUUAAUAAGCAUCUAUUUUUAAUCCCGGAUACAUGAUGCAUUUACCCUUCAAAGAAAAUUCUAUUUCUUUCCAACCAUAUUGUCCAUAAAAAACAGAGAAAUUUUUCUCCAUACUAUCUUUUGUUUUUUGCCAUUGUUUGGUGUUGCCAUGUCUCCAACAAACUCUUUAUACCUGAAGACAUUUCCCACUUGACACCAUAUAUGUUUAGGAAGAUCUCUCAGCACUGUCUUACCACUUUGCAAUGAAUGAGUAUAUGAUUAACCGUAUCUGCUUCUUUUCACAUGUAACACCUAUUACAUAGAAUACUUCCUCUCUAAUGCAAGUUCUCCUAAGUUAUGCAAGCUUCCUUUGUUGCAAUCCAACUAAAACAAGCUACUUUAACUGAUGCUUUUGGAUUUCCAUAAAUUACUGAUUGUGAUAAAGCCCUUGUUAUUUUUGUAACAGACUAUAACAUCAGUUGACUGUGAAAAUACCAUCAUUGCUUGCUUCCCAGAUUAAUGAGUCUUUCAUGUUGUCCUCCAAUCUAGUGUCAUCAAAAGCAAAAAGUGCAAAAAAAAAGCUCUAAGGCAUGUUGGGGCUUUGAGUGCAAACCGCAAAUGAAAAGUGAGCUUUAAUGAAAAAAGGCGCAAAGGGAGACUCAAUACAAAUACAUAAAUGUUUAGUUCAAAACUAAUAAUUAUAAGUAUGAAUGACAAAUAUAUGAACAACGAAAUAUUAAAAAAGAAUUAGGAUAAAGUGAAAUAUCAAUUGUUUAGGGUCGCCUCUUCUGAAGAAACUCAUUGGCAAGGAAAAGUAUGUCUCAAAACGUUGAUGAUGACAUUGAAGCGCACAUUAAGCGAGGCGAAGCACUCAACACGUUCUGAGCCUCGCUUCAGGACUUAAGCGUGCCUUCGACAACACAGCUCCAAUCCAGUGUCCAAUAAUUGCAUCAAUCAAGCAAAUUCAUAUACUUCCCAUUGAGAGACCCCUCCUAAAGAUAAGCUGUCAACCAAUGCUUUAGUACAAGUCAGAUACCUUUCAUUUUGUUUGUGGAGCAGCUAUACAAAACAAAGAACUUUGAUCUAAAACUUUCACUUCCCAGCCAUACAUCAGACAAGAGUUGGGCAUUAUUAACAUUCCCUAGUUUCAGUUUCACAAACUGAUUAUAUUGAUUCAUUAAAUUACUGAUUGUGCUCCACACUCCCCACUUAAAAGAAGAUUUAACUGAGCAUGGAGCCCACAUGUCUUUCCAACCACACUUGGCAUCUAUCAACUGUUUCCAUGAUUUUUGCUGUCAUCAUUAUAUCUCCAAAGCCGUUUAAAUAAAAGGCUCUUGUUAUGCAACUUUAGAUUCCUCACUCUCACCCCCUCUUGGAACAAGGGACCUACUUCUCAUCCUAGGAGUAAGCAGGUAGAAAGAAUCCCCUCUCUUUUUUUUUGUUUUCUUUCAUUUGACCAAAUGGAACUUUUGUUAUCAACAAUGUUAUCAACAAUGCCUUCCCACAGAAAUUUCUACCUCUUAGUAAUCAACUUCUUCUCCACUGCUGUUGGCAUUUUAAGAGAGACAUCAAAUAAAUCGGUAUACCAUCCAUGACACUGUUGAUCAGUGCAUGUCAACCCCCAAAAGAUAAAUGUUGUCUCCCAUGGCACCAGUUUACUGCUACACCUAUCCAGGACCCCUAUCACAUCUUUGAAUUCUGUUUGCCUCCAGGUGGUAGGCCUAAAUAGAUGGUUGGUAGUUGCUCCACCUUACAGCCCAUGACAUCUGUCAGAUCAUCAAUACAAUGCUCAACACUAAUACUAAACACAUUAUUCUUGGUUCAAUUACAAGCCUGAUACAACCUCAAAAGCUAGUAAUACUCCUCUGAGAUGUAAGAGUUUAUCUUUUUUAGCCUAUGCUUCUUUAGCUUAUUCUAUUUAUUAUAAGUCUUGAGCAAGAUGUUGAAGAAGCCAUUGUCGACAGAUUACUCUCUAAAUUACAAGCCAAAGAUGAACAAUGUACUGUCCCAAGAUUGAGGAUUGCGGAAAUCUGAUAACCAUCAUCUAUUUACUUUUUCGCUAACAGUGCAUACUUCCUGUACCUUAGAUGAGUACAAAUGCUGAAUGGCACUUAAUGUUGCAUCAGAGUUGCGUUGAGAUUACGCGUCAUACACAUAACAUAAGUUCAUUCUGAUUAAUGAUGUUUCAAAUAUCCAAAAUCUUGCUAGUCUUUAGGGGUUGUGAGUAUCUGCAUCUCCAUCUAGGCUCUAGAUGCAGCACUAAGGUUUUGGUUCCUAUGAGUUCAAAUUUUGGCAGAAUGAUGGCUGCCUUGGGAAAAUCAUACCUUUCUAGCAAAAGUAAGUCAUUGUGCAAACCUACGUGUGAAAAAGUAAUAAUGCCUCUAGAAUAACUGAAGGGAAAAGAGAUAUUACUUAAUAGUAGAGUGAAGACAAUACUCUCCUCACCGUGGGUAAUUUGGGUAUUAGAUUCUGUCAUCCUUCAAGUAGGCAAGUGAUUGUUGAUGAUUUUGGAUAUCCUCCAACAAACAGAGAGUAAGUGGAGGGGAGUAGCUGCAAUGUACUACGGGACUAAAACAUAUGACUGCCAUUCUUUAGCAUUUUCUACAUCUUAAGUUAGUGGAGUAUGGAGAGUUUUUCUUCUUCUUCUUUUGGGUAAGUAGUGUAGUGGACUAUGGAGAGGAAUUAUUGAGGGAAAAUUGAGUUCUCCAAGUUCAAUAAUUUCAUGGUAGAAGCAAACUUUGAAUUUGGCUUAUCAACUCAGUGUCAAAGACUCUUCCGGUGGAUUCUCUCAAUUUUCAUUUUUAAUCAUCCCUCAAUGUGUGAAGUGAAAGACACGAAAAGUCCCCUUGCAAUAAGCUCUCAACACCAAGAAGUAUGUCCACAUGACAUGUUGGUGAUAGUAGAAAAUGGCAUGUGGUGAGCAAGGACAAAAGAAAUGCAUUGGAACCCCUUUACAUGUUCUGGUCAUUUUGGAUGGAAGAAAUAGAAAUGAUUUUAAUGCUAUUGAAAGUCUCAAUUGGGAAUCAAAGGGCUCCAUUUAUUUCUUAUCUAAAUACAUAAUGUUGAAAUGUCUAGAUGGACAGAUACGUGACAGCAUAGCUUUGUAAAUCGUAAGACCAUCUUUAGCAGCAUCGCCUUCUCCUUCUGAUUUCCAUACAUCUCAAUAUAGGAGUCGGUUUAAGGCACAUACUCCGAGCUACUCAAUUUAAAGUGCAAUAUGCCAUUGUUCCUUCCCACCUUUUAAGCUGGUUGGGAGUUUAUAAUAUUGGCUAAUUUCAAGUUUCAGCAUCAUCCUUUCUCUUGGAAUAUCCUAGGAUUGCAAAUUCCGUCGUCCUAUUUAUCUUUUUUAAUUAAGGUAAAUUAUUUUACUAAUAAUGGGAAAAUCUCUGGUAUAUAAGCAAUAAAUAUACCAAAAAGUAGAGAAUUUACAACAUUUGUUGUCCUAUUUAUCUUAGGGUCGCAGAGAUUUAAUUUACGCUAUGUUUGGUGAAAUAAUAAAAUCUUCAGAUAUCCAAAAACUAGCAAUUUCAGAAGAUAAAGCCGCAAAUUCCUUCCUCUUUUAAGAACCUGAUCUGUUUCCCAAUAACUGGAGAAUACUAGACACUGCCACUUCAGUGGAAGUAGUAGAUGAGAUAUCAUCACCGCGUCACUCAACAUCAGAGCAAUUAUUAACAGGCAAAAAGAAGAAACACAGAAUAUAAGCAUAAAAAACUCCACCUAGCAGCAACAUGUACAUCAAAAAUAGCUAACAUCAAGAUGUCCAUAGUAAAGCAAAAUUAAGGAACCAACUGUUUUACUCCAAUUUCAAUCUAGAACAAAGAUGUGAGCAAGAGAAAUUAUUUAACAUAUAUAGUUGCAAUAGCAGAGAUCAACUAACGAAAUUAUAAUAAUAUCUUACUUAACGACUCAGAUGUGAAGCUGAAGAGUAUUAUUCCUCACAACAGACUUAGAAAACUAAAAGUUUCAGAUUCAAACCCUUCAAUUACAUAACUUUAACAGUAAAAAGGAAAAUCAAACAAAAUAAGAGCUGAUCGCUACAAACAUCCAGUUAAACCUGCAAGGGAAUUACUUCUUUUUUUUCAUAGACCCAAUUUGUUAGAUAAUAAAUUACACAGAAACACAAUUACAAGAAGUACAAAACAUAUAUAUAUUGAUUAAACUGUUUAGAGAAAUAACUCGCCUCUUUUGCUCAAUUAUGCUUCGAGAAAUGCUGAAAUGGAGUUCGCUUUGUUUCCAGCAAAGUGGCGAUCGAGAUGAACAGUCGAAAAUCUGAGGAAUAACAAGAAGAAGAAGAAUACGGCUUUCCUUGGAGUAGAGCGAAGAAGAUCUCAAUGAGCUUUAGUUUAUUUGUUUAUAAUUUUCUCCGUUGUAGACCGAGAAGUUCAGAGUCAUGGAGUAAGGGACAACAAAGGAGAGGUUACAGGUUAGAUCCGCUCAUUUUUUAUGGGCCGGGUUGGCCUGUUUACCUGGUCUCUUCUUUUUCACCUCGGAAAGAAAUAGGCUUCUUUUGUUCAAAAAUAUAUUAUUAAUAAUAAUAUUGAAUAAUAUAAUAUAAAGCUAUAUAUAAACAAAAAAAGAUAUAAGAGAAAAUAUUUUAUUUAUUAUUUUUCUGCGUAUAUUACGGAAUGAGAAAUACCUUUUUAUACGGUAUAAAUUCACUGAAUGUUAUUUCUCCUUUAUGAGAGUGUUAAUAAGAUCUGUUAUACAAGUAUUAAUAUCAUAUAUGUAUAUCUAAAAAACAUUCAUUUCAAUUGUAUUGAAUAUAGUGAAUUCACCAACAAGGGUUGUGGUGGAGUGGUAAGUACUCCUUCAUUCUUAACUAAGACGUCUUGGGUUCGAGUCCCCUUGGGUAUCGAAUCGCCUUUGUUAGGGAGCGUUUUACCCCCAAUGUGGGACUUCUCGACGCUAAUAUGGAUUUAAUCGGGUUCCAAUGUGGGUACGAAUAUAGUGAAUUCAUAACACUAUUAUAACUUUACUAUGUUAAAUUCAAUGGAAAAAAGUAGUACAUAUAUCUUGUAAAAAACUUUGAGUGUUGCCUUAUUAAAUAUUUUAUUACAAAAAUUCAAUGGGACAAAUCCAUAAAUAAAGGAAAAAAGUAUGAUGCGUAUUUUACUUCUCCUUGAUGAAAGUUUUAAUUGAUUACUGAGAGUCGAUGCAUUUCAAUUUCAUAUUUUAAUUUCUUAAAUGUUGGUGUUGGCUAAAAAAAGGUUCAAUAUUAUUACUUGAACGGAUUUGUUGAACACCUAUCUCACCAUUUCGUUGAAGAUCAUGUAUACAAAAAAAUGGUGCAAUAUGAUUUAUUUGUUCUUCUUGAUAUUCUUUUUUUUAAUUGAGCUAUAAAGCAAUAUUUUUUUCAUACAGUCUUUUGUAAAUCUUUGUUUGCAUAGAAAGAUCACAUAAUUGCAAAAUAUGUUGAGUCAUUGAUCUAAACCAUACGCAAAAUCCGCUGACUUCAUAAAUGACUAUUAGAUUUGCAUUAUUUAAAGAAGUGACGACUAUUUAUUGUUUCAUCGAACAUCAUAACAUAAUUACACCUCCAUAUGUUAAUAGAUAACCUACUUGAGAUCUGAUUUUAUGUGGGUAGGCAAAUAUUUUGCAUGCAUAAUCGAUUAUUACACAAAAGGAAUUCCUUUCUUGUCCAAUACAAAAUUGAAUAUAAGAAAAUACUUUCCAGAAAAAACAAAAAAAACAAAAAAUUAUUUUUCUGGCUACGGAUUUAUGGAACCUGGCUUAUUUCUUACUUGGAUGCAUUAGAAUAAAAUAAUUUCAAAUUAAUUAUUGCUUGAAAAUAUCUAAAUAUGUGCUUAACACCUUUUUGGUGUGCUGCAAAAUAUAUAUCUGAUUAGAUCAUAUUAACAAAGCACAUUUGUUUCCAAUAGUACUGAUAUGUAAGAUUUUAUAACCAUUAGGUUCUUGAUCCUUUUAUUGAUAUUAAAAUAAAUUUUUAUUUUUCAAGCAAUCUCACAUUCAUUGAAAUACUUAAUAAGAUCGUUUUAAAACCUUUUAAAUUAUUCAAGGAUUUUUAUAUAAAUUUUAUUGUCUAUUUAAACUCGACAACAAUUUUAUCAUACACAUUCAAAUUUUCAUAUAUCACUAGACCAAAACAAAUCUCAUUGCAUUCACCACAUGAGAACACAUCCUUCAUAUAAUAAUGUCUGGAUUUUUAGUAAAAAAGUUUCCUAAGAUAUAAAUUGUAUUUUACAUUUUGUGAUUUUAUUUUUUUCACAAUAACCUAUUCCGACUUCAUUAGCAUCAUACCUAGUUGUUGAGACUUGAGUCCAAAAUUAUCAUUUUUUAUCAAAUGAAUAAAAUAUAUUGUCACAAUCCGACUUGUCUAUUUCAAUCAAGACAAGUCAGUCUCAACCAACGAAACGAAAAAAAAAUGUAAAAAGUAAAACAUGAAUAACGUAAAAGCGGACAACUUAUUCAUUAUAACAAUAACCCCAAAAUCUGAUUGUCACAUGUACAAACCACUAAUACAGACAAAAUUUAAAAGACAAUACAAGUCUCAAUGGCUUUGAUUCUAGAAAAGAAAAAAGCAUAAAUAAGGAACAAGAGGGCCCGCCGAAAUGACAAUCAACUACCUUUCAAAGUCCUUUGAUAGCCUCAGAAAUAGGUUAAGAAGAAGAAGAUCACACGAGUCCGGGCUCAGAACCUACACAAGUGUAGAAGCAAUGAGUGAGUAUAAAACAACACGAUACCCAGCGAGCAACCUACUAAACAAAGCAAAACUAGAUAGAAAUUGAGUAAUCCUUUCAUCCCAAUCGAAUCUCCUCAUACUACAACUUGCAUAGAAAUCAGCCCAACCUAACAGUUCUACAAUAUACAACUCACAAGGUUUAACAAUCAUAGUCCAGUAGUCACAGUUCAACAACCCACAAGUAUCAAGUAUGUCAAUCACAAGUAUUAAGUAGAUCACUCACAAGUAUCAAGUAGAUCAACCACAAGUAUCAAAUGCAUCAUUUUCCAGUAUCAAGUUCCUCAAAUCAUAGUAAUCAAAUACUUGCCGGAAUCAUUUUCCAUCAACACAAUAUCACUAGCCGAAAUCAUUUCCCAUCGAUUUUAUAUCAUAUUACUAGCUUGAACCAUUUUUCUUUUGCGUUAUAUCACAUCACUAGACGGAACCAUUUCUCUUUGGCUUUAUAUCAUAUCACUAGCCGGAACCAUUCCCCUUCGACUUUAUAUCAUAGCACUAGUUGGAACACUUUUUCUUCGGCUUUAUAUCAAAUCACUAGCCGAAACCAUUUUCUUUCGGCUUUAUACAACACAUGUCUCAUCUCAUAGCACAACAAUCAAAUGCAAAUAAGUCAUUUCUCACCAUAAGAAAUAGACAAUAAUUCAAGCAAUUCAAGGCAACAACAAUGACAUCAAGGUUUUUCAUCAAUCAACAAUUUAAGUCCACAACAAGCCAAUUCACAAAGCAUUAUGAUCAACACUGCCUUUUUCAUUAAUUUCCUCUUUUAUUCAUUAAGAUUAAUCAAGUGGAACAAAUGAAUCCACCACCUCAUUCCCAUUAUUCCCUAACACACAUAAUGAAUGGAAAAUACAUGAAUUUUACAAGUUUUAGAAAGUAUUUGCCUUAAUUCAAUCAGGGUUGUGGUGGAGUAGUAAUUACUCCUUCAUCCUUAACCAAGAGGUCUCGGGUUCGAGUCCCCUUGGGUAUGGAGUCACUUUGUUAGGGAGCGUUUUUUUACCAUGUCAGCACGAAUUCGAAUUUAGUCGAGCUCCAAUGUGGAUACCGUACACCGGGUGGGAAACCAAAAAAAAUCAAUCAAAGUCAAUUCAAGACUUGAGUCUUCCCCUUCCGAAUAAUAUCCAAAGCCUUACAAUCUAGUAACAACUUUCAAUUCAUACAUUUUGAAAAAAUUGGUCAAUCAACUCAAAAAUUCAAUUUCGAAAAGAAAGUUUGAAUCCGAAAACUUUUACUUGAAAAUAUUAUCUAAGGCAUUUGAAAUUCAUUGGUGAAAACCAUUUCGAAAAAGGAUUUAAAAUCAAUUCACAAUCACCAUUUCACUUUAGAACUCAAGUUCUUGAAAAACAUAACCAUUUGUCAAUCAAAAUCUCAAGUUUUGAUGUUAAAAUCCAUAAAUAAUUAAUGGGAAAUGAAGUUUUAGAAUUACAAAGGCUUACCCAAAUAAUUUAACGCAAGAAUACUCUUCAAAAGCGCCUCAAAGGAUUUUACUAAGCUCAAAAUGAAAAAUGAAAAAUGGGUAGAACCCCGAAAAUGGCAAGCAUAAACCCCUUUGAUGUCGCAAAAGCGAACCCCGAAUAAAAUUCGACCUUCGCAAAAGCGAACAGAUUUUCGCUAAAGCAAAGGUCGCGAUCGCAACAUACUCCAUCACGAUUGCGAAGGUCAAGGGAACUGACCUCUCGUGAACAUGAAAAAUGCUUCGCUGAAGCGAUGCUCGGUAAAGCAAGCCAUCCAUCGCUAAAGCGAAGCACAUAGACAUCAGAAAAUAUCAACCAAGUCUCAAAACAUCAAAUGGAUCCUCGGGAUUCGUUUGAAACACCAUACAUAUAAAUCAUAUAUGUGACUAUACUUGACGUUUCAAACUCAAUGAAAUCGGUAAAACACGAAUCUAAGAUCUCUUUGACCCGAAACUCGUGAAAGUCACAUGAAACAAACAUAACGCCUAAAAAAGCCAAAUCAAGCUCGGAACUUCUAAAUAUUCAAUCAAAACAUCAUCAAGGUCUAAAAUCAUCCCACGAAUCUAAUGGAACUCUUGAAAUUCUGAUUCGAGCAUCUGAACCUCAAAAGGACUCAGAAUCAGAAAUUGACAACACUCUUAGAUCUAAUUUUAUAUUUUUGGACGAAUAGAAUCAAUAGAAUCUCAUUCCGACACUCGAAACUCCAAAAGACUCCGAAAAUCACUUUUUAAUAACUUCAGCCUUUUGAAAUAAAAAACUUUCAAAAUUCACAACUUCCACUCAAAGUUCGAAAUCAACUUUCAAAACUCAAUCAGAAAUGACUAGGGAUCGAUAACGAGGAUUGGGGGGGGGGGUAAAAUGAUAAAUUUAUGAAAAUUUCCAAAAAUGACCUUCCGGGUCAUUACAUAUACGUAAAUCAUCUAUUUUAUCUGAUCAAUCAUUUAUCUGGCCGCAUUUAUCUUUGUUAUCAUUUAUAAUAUUGAGGGUUACAUUAUAUCAAAGAUGUCAUCGACGGUCAUUUGAUAUCGAUUUUAAUACAACAUAACUUAUUGAGAUUUCUUCAUUUUUCAUCAUUUUUAGGUACUUGAAUUAUGUGUAAUGUCGUGGUUCUCUUUUAAAGGACCUAUUUGCCCCUAAGAAUACUUGGGAAAAACUUGGGGAAAACUUGGGAAGUGGUGUUUGGUCAUAUAACUUGGCAAAUAUAUUUGCCAAGUUCCCAAUUACUAGAAAAAAACUGGUAUUUGGGCCAAGUUAUAAUAUUUGGGAAUUUUAAAAAAUUCAAAAGUUACCCCAAGCUUUAUAUUUUAUAUAAAAAAAAAUACUCAUUAUUUAUUAAUUCCAACUAAUAUUUGCUACUACCUACUCUGAAAAAGUUUGAGUUCUAAUUUGAGUGACAAAAUUGAGACAAAAGGAACAAUUUGUGUUUAAUGAAUUAUAAUUAUAACAGAAUCAGUGACAAGUUUGAGUAUGCGAUUAAUGUAUUGUCUUGUCAAUGUUGUUAUUGUUAAUUGUUAUCAAUUAUAUUAUAAGGUUAUUUUUUAAUAGAACAUAUUCAUUAUAAAAUGAUAAUACAAAUUUAUGGGUAUUUUAAUAGUUUUAAGAACUUAUAGAUAUAAAUCAUAUUUUUUAAAGUCAAAUAUUCUUAGAAAAACUUGGAGCCAAACACAUUGUGUAAUUUCAGCAAAAACUUGGCCCAAAUAUUAUUUGCCAAAAAUAUUUGAAAACUUAGGACCAAACACUAACAAAGUAUUUGCCUUAUUACCGAUGUCCCGAUCAUUUGCUCCUUUUCUUCUUCAAGUUAUUUUACUUUAUAACUGAUUCGUCUAUCACGUUUUGUCAUUCAAAGACUUUCACUGGAAUAUUUGUAGCAUAUAUAAUUUUCUCAUUAAUGCUCUGAAGAUGUAUUGUUUCUAUUAACACGUUUUUCAUUGAGCAUAUGUGUCUUUUCAUAAUAUCCAUUUUCAAUAAUGCUUGAAUAAUUAUCACUCAAUCAUGUAUCACCUCAAUUAUAUAAAAUUAUCAAUUCAACGAUAAACUUUGUAACAAGCUUUGCAGUAUCCUCUUCAUAAUAUGAAUAAUUUUUAUCUUAUAAACAAUUUUUGACUUUACUUUCAGAUACUCGAGAAGAUUAUUUAACUUAAAGUUUAUCUAUUAUUAAAGUAAUGAAGGUAAGUCUUACACCGUAUUUUGAUUGGCACAUCAAGAUUAUUUGAACUAAUUCACAAUUUAUUUAUUAUGUGACAGUCUUUCAAAAUGAAACACACACAUCGUCAAACACUUUAAAGGUAAUAAAACACACAAAAUAACAUAAAACAAUGAACGAGUUCCAUAUUGGUAUUCAACUUCACAUUUUCAAUUAUUUAUUCUCAAUUUGAAUAUUGGAUACUAAAAAUAUUAUAACUAUUUUCCAUACCAUCUAUUUUAAAAUACUCAAUUCAGAGCAGAUUAAACACUUGAUGAAAAUAACAAAAAGAUUCAUCUCAAGUAUAUAUACAUGAAAUUAACUACAAAAACAAUUCAUAGUCAUGUGUAAAACAUUUAAAAAUUCAAUAGUUUUUAAAAAAUUCAAAAAAUACAAAUAAGUUGAAUGCAAUUUAUAUACGCAUGAGAUUUCAUUGGGAAAAAGAAAUCUACUUCAAACAUUAUUUAAACAAGCACAAAAAAUAAGAAAAAAUAUCCUAAUUAGCAGUUCAAAAUUUAAUUAUAGGUCAAAAGAACAAUUUCAAACAAAAAUUUGUACAAAUAAUUCACUUCACAAACAUAUGUUACUCAUAUUGCCCAAUAUCAUUUUCAUUUGAAACAAACUCAACAUGAGAAAAAUGCAAAAAAUUAAUUGCGAUGUAAAAAUAUAUAUUAGAAGCUUAUAAAUUUAAUGCUAUUGAUCUUCAAAAUUGCUAAAAACAAACAUAUUUUGGCAAUGAACAAGCUAUCAUAUACAAAAAUUAGAAAGAGAAUAUAGAUUAUACAAAAGCUCAUUUUACUUGCAUUAACUUAGCACAAUAUAGUUGUAAGACGAUCAAAAAUGACAUAAAUAUCUUCUUAAAACCCGUUUAAAGUGAAAGCAAAUAAACAUGAAAAAGAAUUUUUGAAUAUUACUUAAAUAUCAUGUAUUUCUCUUUUUUCUUAUAUUUUUUUACUUAAAUAUCAUGUAUUCUCAAUUAUCUUUUACCUCUUUUAUGGAUUAAAUCUAUAAAUAACAAUCAUCUAUGAAAUUAUCAGAUGCUCAUUUUUAUUUUCUCCUUUUUUUUUAUUAGUCCAUAUCUUUUCCUUCUUUUUUUAAACUCUUUUCUUUCAUGUUUUUGUGGAUCAUAGAGAAAACAUAUAUAGAAAAGAUGAUGUGAUAAUAUGGUCAUAGAUUAAAAUCAAACAUAUGUUUUUCAGAAUUUAGUAUCAUAAUAGCCAAACAUAUAUCAAGACAAAGAAGGAAGUUCAAUAAUGUUGUAAAAGAUUUGUUAAAGAAAAAUGGUAAAAUUAAUUUGGUGCAAGUUAAUCAAAAUGAAGAAAAAAAAAAUUAAUAGCAGUAGAAGAUUCAUCUCGAUGGUCAAAUUAAUUUUAUAAAGAAUUUUUGAAAGAUUUACUUAUCUGUGUGUAUAGAUACACUUUUUGUUGCUUAUUUUAGUAUUUUCAGUUGGUUGUUUUUUCAAAUAUAAGACUAGGGGUGUACAAAAUCGAAUCGAAAAUCGAAUCAAAUCGCAAACUGAGUCAAACCGGAAAAAAACCCGACUAGUGGUUUGGUUUGACUUGGUUUGGUAUUGGAAAAAAAAACCCGACUAUAUUUGGAUUGGUUUGGUUUCAACUAAAAUAAACCAAACCAACCCGACAUUAUAUAUAUAAUUUNNNNNNNNNNNNNNNNNNNNNNNNNNNNNNNNNNNNNNNNNNNNNNNNNNNNNNNNNNNNNNNNNNNNNNNNNNNNNNNNNNNNNNNNNNNNNNNNNNNNNNNNNNNNNNNNNNNNNNNNNNNNNNNNNNNNNNNNNNNNNNNNNNNNNNNNNNNNNNNNNNNNNNNNNNNNNNNNNNNNNNNNNNNNNNNNNNNNNNNNNNNNNNNNNNNNNNNNNNNNNNNNNNNNNNNNNNNNNNNNNNNNNNNNNNNNNNNNNNNNNNNNNNNNNNNNNNNNNNNNNNNNNNNNNNNNNNNNNNNNNNNNNNNNNNNNNNNNNNNNNNNNNNNNNNNNNNNNNNNNNNNNNNNNNNNNNNNNNNNNNNNNNNNNNNNNNNNNNNNNNNNNNNUUAAACUUAAUUUUAGCAUGAUUUAGUACUUUUAAAUUAUGAUCUUUUUCAUUAUGACUUAUUAAUUUGCAAUAUUUGUUUUACGCGAUUUCAUUAUUAUUAUUUUUGUUGGAUAUUUUAGUGUCAUUAAUCAUAUCAUAUUUUGUGUUUUUUUCUUAAGAAACACUUAGAUAGUUGUAUUUUGGUAGGACUAAAGAAAUAUUUGAAGUACAAGUAAAUUAUAUGUUUGUACGAAUACUUUACCGGAAAAACUCGAAAAAACCCGAAAAUCCAAAAAAACCCAAGGUUGAAAAACCCGAGUUUUAUUGGUUUGAUUUGGUUUAUAAAUUCAAAAAUCCGACGCAAAUAGUUUGGUUUGAUAUUUGAAAAACUCGAACCAACCCGACCAUGUACACCCCUAUAAGACAUGCACCUCGUAAGAACAAGGCUUUAUUAUAAAAUUUUAACUUAAUAUUUUAUGCAUUUAUUGUUUGUAAAUAAAUUACCAUAAAUUUAUAAGGACUUGAAUGAAAGUUGGAUUACCAAUCCUGAAUGCCUCACAAAAUUGAGUUUCAAGUUUUUAUGUUUUUUAGGGGCUAAGAUGGUCAUUUAACUUUGAAUAGUUUACUUAGAAAGUCACUUAGCUUAAAGUAGUUCACUUAAAAAGUCAUUUAACUUUGUUUUAAACUCAAAAAUUACUUAACUAUUGCUAUUUCACUUAGAAAGUCACUCAAUUAUUGAUAUUUUACGUAGAAAGUCACCCAACUAAUUUAAAUAAUUUUUUAAUUAAUUUUUUUAUUGAAAUACAAUUUUUGUUUUAAACUUAUUUCUAAAAAAAAUAAAAUAAGUUGCUCAUUUUAAUUAUUUUAUUAAAUUUUGUUGAAAUGCAUUUUUUGUUAUGAACUGUUUUUAAAAAACAGUUACGAUUGCUACUGCGCGAUGGAUUACUUCUCGAUUCCAACUUUUUUUAAAAAAUAAUAAUCAUAUUUCAGCAUAUUUAGUUUCAGUUAGACAAUUGCUAAAACGGAAAAGGGAAUUCUUUUUGACAUUUGCUACUGUACAUUUUUUCAAAAAAAAUAUAAUUAAAUAAUUGGAGGGAUCGAUAAAAUAAUUAAAAUAUAUUAUUUUUUUUGAAACAUAGUUUAAAUAAAAAUUAGAUUUCAACAAAAUUUAAUUAAAAAAAAUAUUCAAAUUGAUUGGGUGACUUUCUAAGUGAAAUAUUAAUAGUUGAGUGACUUUUUAAGUGAACUAUUCAAAGUUGAGUGACCAUUUGAGAUAUUAUCUCCCUGAUAAUUGGAAUUGGUGUAAUUACUAGGGUAGUAAUUACACAUCUUAGUAAUUACACUGGCAUGUUUGUUUGACACAAUGUAAUUAUACAUGUGCUAUUUGGAUGCACAAUUGUCAUCACAAGAUUAUAUUAAAUUUUAAAAAUAAAAGUUAAUUAUUUAAAAUUUAUAUUAGACAAAUAAACAACUUUAUAAAUGAUAUUAACUGAAAUAUUUAAGAUAUAUAUUGUCUUUUUAAAAUAUAUUACUAAUAAACAUAUGUUCUUAACUAAUAUUAUGAAGAAAAAAAAUUGAUUUGUAUUUUUCAAAUUAGUAUAUUUCAAUUGAACUAAUCAUAAAAACUAAAAGUACAAGAUUUCUAUGAACAUCAUGAAAUGCAUGUUUGACAAAAAGAUUAAUAUUAUAAAUAAAAUGUCAUAAACUAUUAAAAACAUUUGUCAAAAAGAUAAUCUAUAAAGUCUGACUAAAAAAUUAAUGACUUGCAAUGUGAAGUCUCAAGUCAAUACUACUAUACUAAAAUAAGUGAAACUGAAAAUAUAACAUUAGUUCUAAAUUCCAAACAAAAUAGUCUUAUGUCAAAUUUCAACAUAACAUACAUAAAUAUGAUUUAAAAGAAAAGGAAAACCUAAGUCUACAACCUUACUCAACAAUGAAUUAUAUUUUAAUUGAAAAAUUAGAAUACUAUCAAAAUUAUGCCCAUAAAAAAUAAGUAUGACAUAAAAAAUAGAUAAUACGAAAAAUUGCAUGGAAUCACAUGAAGUAAAGGUUGAGAAUGAGAAGUAAAUGAAAUAUAAAAAAAGAAAAAAGAAACUUUUAGAAUUUUUUAGAAUAAUAAAAAUAAAAAAAGAAUUUAAAAUAAUAGAAAUAAAAAAUAAAUAAAAAACAAACAAGUAAAAAUAGAAAUAAAAAGAAGAAAUUGAAAAAUUAUGAACUUGUAAUUACAUCAUGUAAUUACCAGCAAUUCACAGCCCCUCCCUGGAAAUUGGAGAGUGCAAUUACACCCAAUCACCUGUUAACCAAGUAAUUACAUGUCCAACCAAUCAAGCUAGACAAUGUAAUUACACUAAAUCCAAUAACCAAGGUGGCUUUCCAAACAGACCCGUAGCGUUUUCUUGAAAUCUAUGUAAUAUAAGCAUAAAUAAAGUGAUACAACACCUUACUAUGGAUUCUAUUUAUCUUUUUUCUAUUAAUUUUUUUUAUCUCCAUUUUUUUUCAAUUAUUUUAUAACUCACAACUUUUCAACUUCAUAUAUAUAAAUUCUACUUUAAUUAGUAUUAAUAUGCUAUUCUUUUAAUUACUACUAUCUUUCAAGCCUUUUAUGUUCAUAACCCAAAUGAUUUUUUUCAAUCUUUUCUAGCAUUUCAUUCACUGUGUUUAGUAAUGUAAAUUAAAAGGACAACUUAUUCAAUUUGUGGAGACCAAUUAUAUUCGAAGCAGUAUUCUAAUAUGCAUAAGUUGGUGAAUAUGAAGAAAGAAAGGACGAUUAUUCAAAAUUUUAAAGUACAAAGUCUUUAAUUAUAAUAAAUUUCAUUAAAUAUUUGAUUUGUAUGUUAUAAAAAUGAAAAGCUGCAAUUUAUAAAGGUUAAAUAUCUCUCUCUCUAUAUAUUCUCUUAUUAUAUAAGUGGGAGUUGAAGCUACCCAUUAACUUGACAUAUGGAAUUACUAGAUCCCACACACACACACAUAUAUAUAUAUAUAUUUAUUUUUUAUUUUUUUAUUUUUUGUUCUACUAUAUAAUAAAAGGAAGUUUAGGCCCAAGUAUAAUAUAUAAUAUUUAAGAUUGGACUUUUCCAUUUGUGACAUAUAUAUAUAUAUAUAUAUAUUAUAAAUCACAAUAAUUAAUAACUUAAAACAUUUUAUUUUUUAAAAUGAAAAUUUGGAUUACUCUCCAAAUUUUAUUUGUGUCACAUAAAUUGACACAACAAAAAUAGCAUAUAUUGGGUCCAUUUUAAUUUAUUUGUCUUUUUUUUUACUGUUUUUUAUAUUUAAAAAUUGCGUAAAAAUACUAUAAAUCAUGAUAAUUGACAACAUAAAAUAUGUUUUCAAAAAAAUACAAAAAANNNNNNNNNNNNNNNNNNNNNNNNNNNNNNNNNNNNNNNNNNNNNNNNNNNNNNNNNNNNNNNNNNNNNNNNNNNNNNNNNNNNNNNNNNNNNNNNNNNNNNNNNNNNNNNNNNNNNNNNNNNNNNNNNNNNNNNNNNNNNNNNNNNNNNNNNNNNNNNNNNNNNNNNNNNNNNNNNNNNNNNNNNNNNNNNNNNNNNNNNNNNNNNNNNNNNNNNNNNNNNNNNNNNNNNNNNNNNNNNNNNNNNNNNNNNNNNNNNNNNNNNNNNNNNNNNNNNNNNNNNNNNNNNNNNNNNNNNNNNNNNNNNNNNNNNNNNNNNNNNNNNNNNNNNNNNNNNNNNNNNNNNNNNNNNNNNNNNNNNNNNNNNNNNNNNNNNNNNNNNNNNNNNNNNNNNNNNNNNNNNNNNNNNNNNNNNNNNNNNNNNNNNNNNNNNNNNNAUAUUAAGUAUUUAAAAAUUACGUACAACCAUAUUGCUUUCUGUAGGCUUCAAAUUAUCGUGGUCAUUUUUUAGGCUGAUACAAGUUUUGUACAUUUUCUAUUUAAUUUUUAAAAUUUUUUAUAAAUCACAAUAAUUAAUAAUUUAAAAUAUUUAAAAUUAUAUAUUAAAAAUUGAGUUGGUUUCGAGAAUUUUAUUUAUAUUAUAUAAAAUGGGACAAAGGAAGCAACAUAUAUCAUUUACAAAUGACUUAAAAAACAUUAAAAAUUACAAUAAUUACCAAUUUAAAAUAUUUAAAAGCUAUAUAAUAAAAUAGGUUNNNNNNNNNNNNNNNNNNNNNNNNNNNNNNNNNNNNNNNNNNNNNNNNNNNNNNNNNNNNNNNNNNNNNNNNNNNNNNNNNNNNNNNNNNNNNNNNNNNNNNNNNNNNNNNNNNNNNNNNNNNNNNNNNNNNNNNNNNNNNNNNNNNNNNNNNNNNNNNNNNNNNNNNNNNNNNNNNNNNNNNNNNNNNNNNNNNNNNNNNNNNNNNNNNNNNNNNNNNNNNNNNNNNNNNNNNNNNNNNNNNNNNNNNNNNNNNNNNNNNNNNNNNNNNNNNNNNNNNNNNNNNNNNNNNNNNNNNNNNNNNNNNNNNNNNNNNNNNNNNNNNNNNNNNNNNNNNNNNNNNNNNNNNNNNNNNNNNNNNNNNAUGACUCUCCAAAUUUUAUUUGUGUCACAUAAAUUGAGACAACAAAAAUAACAUAUAUUGGGUCCAUUUUUCUUAUUUUUUUUAGUGUUUUUUAUAUUUAAAAAUUGUGUAAAAAUCCUAUAAAUCAUUGAUAAUUGACAACAUAAAAUAUGUUUUCAAAAAAAUACAAAAAAAUCCACUGAUCCUUGCAGUGAAUCUAUCGUAAAAAUACUAUAAAUCAUGAUAAUUGACAACAUAAAAUAUUUCAAAAAUGUUAUAUGUGGGUAAUCUUAUUAUGCCUUAAAUAGCGUCAAAGAAAGUACAGGUUUGUGAUAAAAAAAACUUAUUUUUUUAUCCACGCAAACAAUCACUUUAAAAAUUUCGUUAUUAACCCCAAAACAUACCAUUUAUAUUAUUGGGCCCGUGCAUAGUACGGGCAACAUUAUCUAGUAUAUAUAUAAAGGAGGAACAUAGAUAAGGUGAUGUGGCACCUUUCUAUGGCCUCUAUUCAUAUAUAUCUUUUUUUCUCUUUUUGGGAAUUUUUAAUGUCUAAAUAUUUUAAUUAAUGUUUUAUUCUUUAUGUAUAAUCACUUGUAAUUAAUUUAUUGGUAAAAACAAUCAACCCUCCCUCUCCCCCCACGUCUAAGAUCAUGAUCAAUUCUUCAACUUUUCAUCUUCUCUUUUAAUUAUUAUUUAUACUCUUUUAUGACAUUAAAUGAUUUUUUUUUCUCAAAAGCAAUUGUGGAGAUGAAAUCAUUAUCUCCUUUCAUAGUUACUAUAAAUCUCUAACUAUUUAUGUCAUGGAGAAAUAUUUUUUGUUCACCAAUUGCUUCCCUUAUGAUGGGACUGCUUAGGCAGUUUUCAGGUACCAUUUUAUUUUAUUUAUUUUUGUUUACAAAUAUUAAUAUUAUGUAAGAUUUUAAUAAUGAUAUUUUGUAUCAUACUUUCAUCAUUAUUAUUUUAGAUGACUAUUUUUUGUAUCACAAUUUCAUCAUUAUCAUUUAGAUGACUUAUUUUUCAAUUGGUUUGCUAUUUUAUAGAUUCUUGAAUUUAUUUGGAAUAAAAUAUUAUAUUUGUAUAAUUGUGUUUUGUCAUUUUAUCAUGUUUUCUUAUUGUAUUGCUUCAUUCUUGUGUUUAUUUUUAUCCUAAUAUUGUUGUUUUAUUUAAAUUUUGAUUUCUCAAUUGAUGAAUUAAAUUUCAAUCAUCUCAGGCUAUUUUCACAUUAAUGUAUAGAAUAUCAUAUUUUCUAAUUUAUAUUAUAUUAUGUGGUGGAUUAUCACAAUACGCAUUAUUCUACUUCUUAUAUUAAUGUGGAUUUAUGGGUGAGUACAAAAAAUUGAUGAUUAUUUAUAGAGUAAUAACCCAUUUUUCCUAUUGACAUUUUAGUAGCUUUAGAUAAUUAUAAAGGUCAUGCACAAUUUUUCUUGAUAUUUUGUUUGUUUACAACUUAUUCUUACUUCUCUUUUAAUAUCAUUCUUUAUUUAGAUUUCAAUUUCUCAAUUCAUAAGCUAAUUGAAAUUCUUCUUGAUUUUUUUUUUAAAUUAACCUACAUUCAAACAUUUUACCUUAUCUAAUUUUAGAUCAUUUUGUGGGAUUUGUCAAAAUAUGUGCUAUUGAACUUUCCUAUUAAUGUGAAAUGAUAAGACAUAAGUUAAAAAAAAUCAUCCUCUAAUAACUCAUUUUUAUUAUUGAUAAUUUAUAUAUAUGGUAAAGUUAGAUAUAGAAUAGGUAAGGUGAGACAUCACUUGGGUCAUGAUUCAUAAUUUGAGUUUGGAGCCAAAAGGGAAAAAAAAAUUGCCAAAAAUUUCAAAAGGGUACAUCAAUUAUUUUUUAACCAAAAGGGCAAAAUCUCUCUUGACGGAGCGAUUUCCUUCUGACAAAAUUGACGCCGUUACUUCGUUAAAAAACAUAAAAAUCGCUGUUCCAGCAGCGAUUUUGUCAAAUUUUUUAUUUUUUAACAUUCCUGCCCCUGUAACGUUUUUCUAAAAAAACUUUUUAAAAUUGAAAUCGCUGCUAUAGUAGCAAUUUUCUUUAAAAAAUUAUUUUUUUAAAAUCGCUUGCAAGGCAGCGAUUUCAUUCAAUUUUUGCAUUUUAAAUAUAUUGCUGCCUUGAAAUGUUUUGUACUGCCAUUUGCUUAAAUGAUUAAUAGUGAUUGUACAUGCUUGGUUUUAGCUUAAUUUUUUAAAUAUUUUUCUAUUGAUUUUGAAAUUUAAUGAAAUCGCUGCCCGGCAAGUGAUUUUUUAAUAUAAAAAAAAUCAACUUUUUAAAGAAAAUCGCUACUAUAGCAGCUAUUUCAAUUACAUUUUUUUUUGACAAAAUCGCUGCCACAGCAGCGAUUUUAAAGAAUUAAGAUUUUUUUUUGGACGAAAUCGUUGUUGGGGCAGCGAUUUUAUGUGGAGUAACGAAGUCAAUUUUGUUAGAAGGAAAUCGCUCCGUCAGGAGCGAUUUUGCCCUUUUGGUUAAACAAAUAAUUGAUGUGCCCUUUUGAAAUUUUUGACAAUUUUUUUGCCCUUUUGGCUCCGGACUCUUCAUAAUUUCAUAUUCAUCUAUUUUUUCAAUUCUUUUCCUUUUCUUAUUUAAAUCUCUAGAAUUUUUUUAAUCUUUAACAUAGUUUUUAAAAAAAAAAUUAUGUUACAAAUUAUUCCUUACAAGUUUUAAAUAACACUAAAGUUUAUAUCCAUAAUGACUUGAGCUUUUUUCGGUUUAGUUUUUUUAUUUCUCUUUUAUCUUAUUUAUUUAUUUUAUCCUUUUUAGGUGCUUAUACGACCUUACAAAUUAACCAUAUAACAAGAAAAACUAGGUUUAUUUUAAAAAAGAUGGAAGAAGUCUUAACAGUUUCUUCUACAACUAGCUGUUAUUAAAUUGAAAUUUAUCCUUUCUUAAUUCUGAAUUAAUAUUAUGUCCUAAUGAUUCUUGAAUAUGCUUUAUUUUUAGAGCAACUUUCACAUAUAGCAAACAUAAAAAUCAUAUUUGUAUGCUAUAGCUAUAGUUUGCAUAAUUGCACUCCAUAGCAAACUUUAUGUUUGCUAUGACUAUUAAUAUGUAUAUUUCGCUAUACAUAUACAAAAGAAAGCAAUUGUAUAAUCUGUUUCGGUAUACAUAUACAAAAGAAUCAAUUGUAUAAUCUGUUUCGGUAUACAUAUACAAAAGAAUCAAUUGUAUAAUCUGUUUCGGUAUACAUAUACAAAAGAAUCAAUUGUAUAAUAAGAAAGCAGUUGUAUAAUCUGUUUCGGUAUACAUAUACAAAAGAAUCAAUUGAAUAAUAUGUAUUUGUAUAAAGCGAGAAAGAGAGAAAGACAAAACAAAACUGGGCAGGAGAAAAUCGUAUUUGUAUAAUCAUAAGUGUAUAGGACGAAAAUAUAUGCAUUUGUAUUUGUAUAUACAAUUUUCUCUCGCUUUAUACAAGCACAAACACAAUGUAUACAUUUGUGUUUGUAUAAAGUGAGAGAGGCGAGUGAGAGUGGCGAGCGAGAUUUGGGAGAGGGGAACGAAAAUAUAUGUAUAUAUACAAUUUUCUCUCGCUUUAUACAAAUAGAAACACAUUUUAUACAUUUGUGUUUGUAUAAAAACGAGAGAGGCAAGGGAGACUGCCCAACGAGAAUGAGAGUGGCGAGAGAGAUUCACCAGGGAGAGAGGCAAAAUAGCAACAGUUUGCUAUGGGGUACAAUUAAAUCAAACUAUGGUUAUAACAUUUAAUUUGAAUUAAUAGUUUGCUAUUAUAUACAAUUUUUCCUUAUUUUUACUACUUUCAUUCUUUAACAGAAAUAUUUAUAUAUUAUAAUGAUUCAUGAUAUUAUAAAUUAGGCAUGCAAAAGUAACUAAAUUAAUUAAUCAAAUAUUGUCAUAUGGUUUACAAAUUGGGAAGAGUAGUUCACACUACUAAUCAUUUAUAUAUAUUAUUCUUCAUAUUAUUGUUUUUCUUUUGUUCAAUGGUGUGGUUUCUAAAAAUGUGUCAAUAUGAUAAUAAAACUUAAAAUCAUUUGAAUAUAAUGCUCCAGAGAGUCAUUUAGAAGAAAUUUGGAAAGAGGAGAAUGACUAUAUAGUUUUUUCACAUUUAUAAUGGUUUGUCACUAAUAUUGACUUUGUUUUCUAUACACAUGCUUAUGUUGUUGAUUAAUUGUAGUUUGAUGACUUUUCUUCAUAAUAUAUGAUAGAAAAACAUUGUAAAAAAAUAUCUUAUAUAUAGGAUCUUAAUAUUUUUCUUUUAUUUAAGACAAUUUUCCAAAGGCAGAGGUUCCGAGGCUAUUAAUCGUGUAUUUUUUAAUUUAAAUUUUAGUAUUUUUCUUCAACAAGAUCAUUAACAAUUGCAUUUGCAUCAGAAAAUGACAUAUUAUAAGCACUUAUUUUAUUUAUCACUUAAAAGUGUAUAUUUUAAUUAAAUUCUUACCUGAUAACUAAGUGAUUUUUAUACUUAUUACUAUAUCAUAACUCUAGGAAAGAACACAACUAAAUGGAUAAAAUCAUAUUAUCGUUCAAUUAUUACUACUUAAAUAUAAAAGAAUAGGAAUGGUGUAUUUAAAUUGUGCUAAUCUAAGGAAUUGUUUCCUUUUUCGAUGAAGCUAAUAUCUCACGAAGAAAUUUAAAAUAUAGUUAAAGUGAGUUAUAAUUUAAUAUUUAAUUUAUUUGAAUGUGAAUAUAGAAAUUAAAAAACUAUUAAAAAAAUCAUGAAUCUAAUAUUAUGUCGCACCGCACGAAGCGCGGCCAUAUUUACUAGUAUGUUAUAACUUGUGAUUGUUUGAUUGUCACGCGUUGUAUCCAUGUGAAUCCUCACAACUCAAAUGAUAAAAAUUUCAUUAGAGAAGGAAAGAAGAUAGUCAUUGCAACAGAUUCUCAAAUAUGUUGCUUUAUGAUAAUUAAUUUAAAGAUGAUCAUAUAUCAUAGAGAAAAUACAUUAAAAAAAUCCCUAAACUUGACACGAUAACUUAUACUUUAGUACUUAAAUUAUCCGGGCGUAUAAAUAUCCCCUUAACAUCUUUGAAGUGAAUUUAAUCCCACCCUAACAGUACAAUACCAGUCUCACACUGGGAAGUGCCCUACACACACGCCUCAUCAGGGCCACAUCAACGCCACAUCAGAUCCACAUAAGAAAUAAUAUUUAAAAUAUAAAAAAAAGGAAAAUCAAAUUUAAUUUGGAAUUAUACUAAAUAUAAUUUUUUCUUGUUUUUUUCCUUUUUAAUUAUUCUUAGUUUUUUUUUAUUAAUUAUAGUUUCAUAAAUUAAUCUCUAAUUAAUUAUUAAAAUCCCCUAAAUAACUGAAUUUUCCCCAUUGUUGUCCUCAAGUUCACCACCUUCUCAUUUUCAAAGAGAAAUCCGAACAACCUUUGCAACUCUAAGCUAUAACAAUAAAAAAAAUUCAACUUUUCUUAUUACAUGAACUAACAACAAAGUCUAUAAAAAAAAUUCUUCAAUUCCAAUAUCAGCUACUCCUCAACCCCCUCUUUUGAAGAUCGAAUAUUAGUUUUUUUGUAAGUUGGGUGAAGAUUUUAUGAUCUAUUUUUUGUUGACUUCUUUAACGGAUGAUUUGACACUUUCUUGAUGUCGAAAAUAAGUUGCCGAAAAUCGUGUCGAAGAACUGAACAUCAAGUUUCUUGUCAAAGAAGAACACAAAAACAAAGAAAAGAUUAAAAAAGAGAAAUGAAAAGAAAAAUAUUGACAUUUGGAAAAAAUCCUCUGUUGUAACUUGGUGUGAUGGACUGAAAAAGAAGAAAGAAAGAGGAAGGUAGAAAAAAGUAGGAAAAAAAUAGGAUAAAAGAAAGAGAAAUUUUGAAUUAAAAAGAAAAUAUUUUUUAGAAAUAGUAAAAUAUGGAGUAAUUAAUUAAUUUUGUCAUCAUAUGAGAAGAUGACACGUGCAUAGUUUGAAACAACUUUUUGUUUUUUUUCCAUCUUCACACGCCUAUAGAAAAUUGAUGAUACAAAUCUUGCCACAUCAUAUUUUAGGGGGUAAUUUAAUUCAACUGGAACUACAUUAGGGGGUAAAAAAACGUCCGUAAAGUUGCAUUGCUAAACUAAGUUAUGCAGACAAGUUUGGGGGGAAUUUUAUGUACUUUCCCUAUAUCAUAUAAUUAACAACUUUAAAAUUGAAAAUGAAAAAUACUUACCAUCCAAGUAACUCUCUCUCGUCACUCUGUUACAUUUUAGAGUGACAUUUUAGUUAUAGAGUGCUUUUCCAAAAGUAUCCUAAUCCAACUUGGCCAUAGUGUCUGCAAAGGGCAUUCUUCUUUUUCAAGUACAGCACAAAUGAGCUUAAGCCUAAUUUUAUCCUUUUUGUACCUAACAACACAAGAAUAAGAAAAUUAAUGUAGCAAGAAUUAGAAAUUUAAUUCUCACCACCUUCCUAAUUGGCUAGCUAUUAACAUUUUCUCAAAUCUUCUUUCAAAAGGGACUUCAUACUUUCUUAGCACUCGUUCUUUUUUCCUUAUAUUUAUGUUAAUAAUUACGUUGUACCUCAAUAAAUUCGCUCAACACCUACUACCUCACACUAAAAUAAAUAUGGGUCAUAUAAAAAAAAAUAUCACCUAACAAUAAUCUUUAUUUCUACGGACAUUUGAACCAUUUUUUCACUUCAUUGACCAUUAAGCACACAAUUGGGUGCAAGACAUUCUUCAUUAUCUUGCAUUGAUAGUCUUUUCUUUGAAAAAAUAAUAUCCUCUUGGAGCCUAUGUCAAAGUUUCACAUAGUUUCGAACUCUCUUUUUAUGACUAACUAUUAACAAAUCGUAGCAGUAAGGGCCUCCUAACAUGUGAUGGAGUGUUACGUAUUCUUUCAUCCUUCAUCUUCAACCAAAAAUCUCAAAUUCGAGUCUCCCUUGUUACCCGACAGCAGGUGGAAAACAAAAAAAGGAAUAACGAAAAAUAACAGGUCAAAUAUCACUCAAUUAAAAUCAAUCCAUUUCAACAGUUCAGCUUCAGCAAGUCUGUCCAGUCGUUAACUUGUAUUAACAUGUGACAACCAAAAAUAUAUAUAAAAAUUUAUCAGUACUCACACCAAACUAGCUAAUAUGUAACAUGUUAUUUUCAUAGAAUCCUUCAUCAGUAACCAUGACCUAUUGACGAAUUCAUCAAAACAUGCAGUAACUUUGAAAAAUAUGACAAGCACCAUUAAUAUUUUUUUAAGAGUCCAAGCAACAUAGACGGUCGAAUAAUGGGAAGGAAGACCCCAACCAAAGCACAGAUGAUGGCCGACAGUUUCAUGCAGAUGUUGAAGUAGAAUAUAAGCUCUCCACAAGACAACACUAUUAUAUUGUAUAGAAAAAUGAUUUUUUCAUUUUGCAUUGAAGUUAGUGCAGUGUGAGGGCAUGAGGGUUGGAGUAGAGUUGGAGAAGGGGACCACUCAACCUUUUACUUGAACCUUCACCUUCACCUUCACCAAUCAAAUGAAGCACAAACCCAAUGGAAUACUAUUCUCAACAUUAGCCACAAAAUUCUUCUGGGCAACCUGUUAUCUUAUUAUUUUUUUUAAAAAUAUCUGUUACAAAUGAGAAAUGCCAUUAUUAAACAGGACAUAAGAAAUCAAAUGAAUACCACCACUAACUGCAGCUUUUUACUCCUCCCAGAGCCUGAAUAUUUGCUCCCGGGCCCUAGUGACUCAAACUCACAACUGGUUAGAGGUGGUAGGUCAAAGGUGGAGAGUGCCCUCACAUUUCUUCCUCAAAAGGCAAUAUGACAGGGCAAUGAAUCAUUCAUAAGCAAAUAGGUUCAAAACUCAGCAGAGAAAAAAAAACACUAGAUGAUUCUUCCCAUUACCUGAUACCUGUUGUUGAUAGGACAUGGUAGGUAUUACGUGGACUUAAUUGAGGUGCACGAAAGCUAGCCUGAACACCACGGUCAUAAAAAUAAAUUAAUUAAAAGAACACCAACUAGGCUUGGCUUCUUGUGGGAAGAGGAGGGAUCAAUAAUGCAUCAUCAUAUUAUAAUAGAGAGAUGCAAAUGAAUAAAAAAAAUGAAGGCAUGAAGAUUGCAUGUAAAAAGGGGCAGGGGACCACCCUACAGACAGAAUCUAUUGGUACUUCCUAGACAAAUAAUGCCAGACACAACCUUAUAAUACACUAUAUAUAAAAAUUAUAAUGAUGGAAAAUUAUCUCAAAACUAAAGCUAAUUUCCUAAAUCAGGAUUUAAACCACGAGGUCCCCCCCUCCAUAAUUGGCAAAAUCAAUUGGUACCAGUCAUAUUGUAUAUAGCAUGACCUAGCCAUUUACAAAUAAAUUAAUAUAGUACUAAGUGUUGAAGGAAAGGGACUAAAGCAUUUCAUUAAUGCAAAAAAUAUAACAUAAAAAUUGUACUUGCCACAAGCUACUUGCCAUAUAAAAAAUUGAACCAAUGUAUAUCAAUGAGGUCAUCCUCAUUGCCCUAGAAAAAGGGAGAAAACAUGGUGCUCAUCACGUUUUGCUGUCUUCACAGCCAUGCAAAUAUAUUUCAAAAAUUUAAAGCCAAGAAACACAUCUACUUCAAACUUCAACUGAUAUAUGUGUUGCAAAAGAAAGAAAUAUAUCAAUUCGUAAAUACUAAUUCCCCAAAACAGAUUUCAAGUAUGAAGUUACAGUUCGCAAGAGCCAUGUAAAACAUCUCUCGAAAAAGUCUUAAUUUGUGCCAUAGGUAUGUGUGACAUCAAGCAUAUCUCUGUAGAGGAAAAAGGAGAUUCCUAUAGCAAGUAAGUAGGUGGAUCUGUGUUGCAUUCCUCAUCAGUUUAGACAGAACAUGUAAAACAUAUUGCAAGGAGCGGAUAUAAUGUUACAGCAAACAAAUGAUUAUAGAUGUUCGGAAUAACUGUAUAAGACAUGAAACUAUAGCCAUAUGAAGAUUCUAACAAUUGGGAUUAACCGAUGGUGGUAGAGACCAGGACGAACAGACAACUGCCUAGUGAUCGAAAUGGCUACACAGAACUCUUGGAAUCAUAUGACGAAGUAGAUUUCUAAAGCAUAUACAUGUACUACAAACAAGAUGCUAGAGAAAACUAUUGACUGAUUCAAACAGAAGUGAUUGAGUGCUUAAAAUUGUCCAGACAACUGAAAGAUCUUAUCCUGGAAAUCACCACAAUACGUUAAACAGAAUUAUUAUUGAAAAUUAGGUUUUGAAAAUGAAGAGAAUGGGAAAAAGGAGCUCCCUUCAGUCCAAGCAAGGAAAGAGAGGGAUAGAAAACUAUCUCCCGCAUCAUUCACUCAAUCACAGUAGCACAAAACCUAUCCUUUCUACUGAGCGGUUGGAUGAAUGAGUCGGCAGCUAAUUCAACCCCAUUUCUCCUCCUUGAGUGGGCUGAAGGAAGCUCUCUUGGACCAUUCCUCAAUUCACAAAACUUUUUACAAUUAACUUCUUCAACUGAACAGCCUUAGUAAAUCAUCAAAUCAUACAUUUUUGAUAAGAAUAUAUGAGAUUCCGAGGAAUAAAUAUACUAACCUCAAUCUACCAAUAUUACCUUUCCACAGCUUACAUUCAACUCCCCCAAAAAAAUUAGGAUAUGUAACCAGUCAGUAAUAGUUCACAACAGUUCACCAUUAUAUCUCAGAAUCAAAUUGCAGAGAGUAAAGGCAGCCUAAAAUGAAAUACGAAUACAAUAGACACAACCAAAAUCAUAGCUCAAGGGUACAUCUAUUUUAAUUUUUUGUGAAAGAAAAAGCCCCUUGUCCCCUCAUCUCUUUAAGAAAAAAAAAAACUUUUAUGGUCACUGUUGAUAGCAUACCAAAGUCUCAUCUGAAACCUGAGAAAGAUAGAUACUUUUUAUUUGACAAACAAAAAUUAAUCAACAGCAAAAUCCAUGGCAAACUUUCACAUAUAGAAAAAGUUCACUAUACAAACACAAUCUGUUAACUAAGCAGAGUCAACUCUUACCACAAACCCUAUAAUCAAUCAAAAAACACAAAGAUCUCUAAUCUACCAUUCUAAUGAGUCUAUAUACAAGGAACUGUUCAGUGAUGAAAAUCGAAGAAAUACUUAUCUGUUAAGUGAUGAAAAUCGGCCGAAUAGACACAGUAUAUGUGAAACCCUAACUCUUCAAUACUAUUCGGUACGGGGAAAACGCUUUGGCAGAGCAAUAAAUAGAGAGAAGAAACAUGGUUUUGGAUGAAUGAAAAAACAAAGAAAUUCAGAAGGAAAGGGAAAUGAGAUAAGGAAAUUUAAGAAAUUGAA